RNAcentral lists this long non-coding RNA (48174 nucleotides) under Citrus maxima (pomelo). Its description in RNAcentral is "long non-coding RNA (CMAX_LNC002255)". The record is from RNAcentral. Lineage: Eukaryota; Viridiplantae; Streptophyta; Magnoliopsida; Sapindales; Rutaceae.
CUCGACUAAGCGCAGUUAAGGGCGGAUAAAGCCUGAGUACCUCGUAAAGUAUCAUCUGGACCUGUCACAUACAUACAAACACAACUGAGAUUAAUAUGAUCAAAUUGAUCAAUAUCGAAUACUAUUUCCUUCGUACUUACAAUUUUGAGGUGGUUCAAUUCACCAUAGUCGGGCUUAUUAUUGCCAAACACUUGCAAAACCUCUUGCCUUGCACGUUCUUGCCAAUCUUGAUGCUUGCUCAAUAAGACCAUUGUCCAAUUAAGCAAAACAGAGGUAGUCUCUUGGCCGGCAAGGUAAAAUAGCUUACACUCUUCGAUCACAUCGUUCAUGCUGAACCCAACAUUUUUGUUAUUUCCAUGUUCUUCAAUCUCUCUAAAACUGGUUUCCAUCAGUAUGCCUAACAAGUCAUCAUUCGCAGCUUCCCCUGCUCUCAUUGCCUUCUCCCUAUUUUUGAUGAUUCCCAUCAAUGAAGCCCGGAUUUCCUUGUCAAUUUCUUUCAUUCUCCUAUUUCUCUUUGUAGGUAAAAACCUAUAUAUAAGCAAUGAAACAACUUUAAAGACAAGAACUAAACAAACUAAUCAAACCCUUAAUUUUUUUUUUUUACCCUCUUUUUACCAAUCAGAAAUCUGCUGGAGCCUCUUAGAAUAACUCUAUGAUUAGCUCAAUCAAGAUAUCUGAGCCGAAAUCAGCUAGGUCUACUUCUAAUAUUUUGCGCGAAAGAAAAUAACUCCCACAAAGCUAAUCAAAGCCUACUCAUAAAUAAUCCUAUAUGACAUGUAUAUAUGAAUGUUUCCAGUGAAGAGAAAUGUGAAUAUACCUCCAUCCUGGAAUGUGAACUGAACGAAAGACUUGCAUUGUGAGUUCAGCUAGCUCUGCCUGGAGCUGAAAAAUCCUUCUUCCUUCUUCAUAACUACUCCCAAAAGCCGUUCGAGAAAUCACAUCACUUGUUAAAUUUGCAAGAUAAGGCCAUACAUCCAACUCAGAUGAUCCUUCUACAGACAUUUGCUUCUCCCACUUUGUAAUUAUUUCGGUACAACUCAAGUAGAAUGCUGGCAACAUAAGCUGUAACAAAAGCAAGAAAUCUAAAUGAGGGCAAAAUCGAAUCUUCCAAAGAUAUGUAAACAAAUGGAGAAGUUAAUUAAUAAACCUUGAGCUUCUCUUGGUGGAAGGCUGGGUUGAUGAGUUUUCUAUGUUUAGCCCACUUCUCCCCCUCAAGGCUAGCCAAUCCAACUAUCAGCAGCCUGGCAAGUGGGAUUGAAUUGACUUUUUGAAAAUCAUUGAUCUUGGUAAAUAUCGCUUUUAUUUGAUCAGGAUUCAUAAUAUUCACCCUUGGUGUCGGACCAAACCACAUGAAAGAAUUCUUACCUGCAGAAAUUUUUUACCAAUAUACGCACAUGUUACUUGUUAGAGGCAGAUGGUACAUUGAAAAUGGUAGUAUACCUAAGCUGUGAAAAAUUAGUGAUUUUAUUCACAAAUCAGUCAAAGAAUAACCAUUCAUACUAAUUGAUUUUACCUCAAGCAGAAAAGAUCUAACAAGCAACUUUGCCCAUUAUAAGGUAAACAAUUAGAAACAUGGCACGAUUUAUAAGAUAAUGUAAAAGCCUAACGGCGUUGAAACAGUGAAUUAAUCAGACAACACUCAGCAAAAGGAACAACGCUGCCCUCUGGGAAUUUUACAUGUGGCAUAGCCCAUCCACAGGUUGAAUUACACCCACGCACCUAUCUCAUCAAUACAUUAGUGGUUCUAGCCACUCAGUCAAGGCUGAGUGGUAAAGUAUCACCACUUAAUUAAAAAAAAAAAAAAAAGGAAAAAAAAGAGAGAGAAGUUUAGCCGCAACGUCGAUUUUUUUCUCUGAUCAAAGAAGCGUAAAAUUAUGUUUUAACCCACCAAAAUUUUCAAGAAUUAUCUUUACGUGAACCAUCUCUACUGAAUCAGAAGUCUAAUCAAAUUUCUUUCGUCGGAGAGGAUUAAUUCUUUAAGCAGUGGCACAGUCCAGAUAUUUGAGUCAUUUGAGACCAGAACAGAACGUAUCUACUUUUGAACGAGUAAAAUUAAAAGAGUACACGCCGGGAUUGACAUACAUACCAUAAUCAUUUACCAGUUUAUGAAGGAAUGGAUUGACACGAAUAGCAAUAUUGUCAUCCAAACUGAGGGGUCUGGCUUUGGCUUCCUUCAGCUCGAUGGAAUUUUCUUUCAAGUCACCAAACAGAAGCCUGUAAGAAUUGCCUUUUAAACCUUGCUGUCUCAGGAAUUUCUCCAGCUUCUUGGGCCUCAGCCACACCCAGUUCAGCACUCUCCAUGCCCAUGUUAGCACCGUUAGAAUAACAAUGGUAACAGCUAUGGAUUUCAGAGGCAACUCCAUUUCACACUGACAGAUUUUGCGGGUUUAAAUUUGCAGAGACGAACGAGAAUGAUAUAUAUAGUCAUCAAGCGAAUGAGAAAAUCGUUUUCCUUUGCAUGUGUUUUUGAUUAGGUGUUUUCUGGAUCGAUACGUGUCAAGCUUGCAUGUGACUGUGAACUGUGGACCCUGUUCUAGAACUAGACUGUUUGGGAUCGAUUAAUUUUAAAAAAUAAACUAAAAUUCAUAUGGUAAGAAUUUUUAAGUAUAAAUGUUUGUAAAAUAAAAUCUAAACCUACAUUUGAAUGGCAAGCAUCUAGAAACAAGAUCUGUAUUCUGUCAUAUGACGCCAGGAAAUAUACUGCCUUUUCGUAAAUGCAUAAUCAAGCAGCAUGAUGUGCUCUGCUUUCACACGAAUGUAGGUCCACUUUGUCUUGGCUUUUACGGAAUUUCAAUUCUAUUGUUAUGGGGAUUAAUGGCUCUGCUUAAUUUUGGGGUCUGCUUUCAGAGAAAUACAAAACGAUUAGAACUCUGCUUUGUGAUACAGACAAGACGCAAUGGAUCUAUCAUCUUCAUCUCUACUCCUAUUUCAUUUAUCUUUAUCAUGAAUAUAAUCCACGAUUCUCAAACAUGAUAAACAAGGUCACAAACUAUGGUGUACCAAUCGGCUGUUUUUUUUUUAACUUAAUUAAUUUAAUUUAAAUCAUUGAGUCCAUUUAUUUUUUCAACUUAAUGAAAAUUUUCAAUCACUAAAUCAUUCAGUUACCAAGCUAAUUUUUAAAUUUUUUGUUUAAUCUAAAAAGUCUAAAUAAUAACAUUAAAAGAUUUUCUCUAAAAUAUCUCUAUCUAAUUAAUUAAUUUUUACCCUUACCUAAAUAAAUUUUAAUAAUUGAUGUUAUUACCUACCUCUAUAACUUGUGAUAAUAUAGUGCACUAGUAGACUACUAUUAUUUUUUAUUUUUUAUUUUCUUCAAAUUAAAAUUAUUUAUCUUCAUAAUUUUUCAUAAUUAUUUUUCAUAUAAAAACAUCAUAAACUAUAGUAAAAUUGAUUAAUAUAUACUAAUUUAAAAUAUUAAAAAGAGUAUAGACAUUAUGAGACAGUAUCAUUAAGCAGCUACUGGAAUAAGAUGUUAUGAGCCUAAAUUUUAUAAGGUCAAAGUUGAAUUUGGCCGAUCCUUUAACAAAAAAAACUAAACAAGAGUUUAGUAGAGAUCACAUCAAGGGAGAUGGGACUAGUGGCUAGAUCAUAAGACAAGAGUGAUGGUAACCCUACCUAUGUGAUUGGAGAUCCAUGAAAAAUGUUCAAUAAGUUACUUGUUGUUUUGGAAUGCUCUCAAUAUUAUGUAAUCUUAUUUUUAUUCAAUAAAGAUUUUCUUUAUUUAUAAGUCCUCCUUAUAAUAAGAUAAUGUUUAUCGCAGUGAGUUAGGUUAAGCAAUUGAGCUUUUCAUGAACUCCAUAACUCAAUUUUUAUGUAUGAUGGUGUGUUAAAACUGCAUGACAUACUUGAUGGAGGUUCACCUAUGUUAGUGUGGAAUUGGAUAAGUUCCUAUGAGAGUUAAACAUGCUUCUCUAGAGCGCUCAUGAAUACAAGGGCACAGGGCUACUAAAGUGCCAAACCGCAGAACAACAAAAUAUUGAGAGAGUUUAAUGUGAGCUUCUAGUCAUCUGCCUUACAAAAAAAAGAAUAUUGGUUUAUAGAAAUUAUCAGUUUCACCAAGUUCCUAUGACACAUGGUUAGUUAUUCAAUGGCCAGUUCAUAGCCCCAAAGGCACCAGUUCAUAUGCAUUAAACUCUAUGGACAAUGAUGAAGUCGAAAGAAAUUGAGUAUUUUGAAAUAUGUGGAGGAUUGUUAAAGAUUGAGUUGGUAUUUUAAAAUACCAAUAUUCCACAUUACUUAAACAAAAGAGUACAAGUUGGUUUUUAUAUAGAAAACAAAUAUAGUGUAGUAACAAGCCUAUGAAGAGGAGGCUCAUAUGCAUGAAACCAAGCGCGAGAGAGGAGUUCAUUCCAUGACUCUAUUAAUUGGUUGCUCGUACCCAAUAACUCACUCGCAAUGGGGACCCUCCUUCCCCCCAUGGGGUGUCAUGUAUGAGUGUGGGCUUGGCCAUCUAUUAUGUUUUGUCCUUUGUUUUAAUUUUAUUUAUUUUAAUUCGAAUUAGAUUGAGAAUUCAAUUCCUAAUGGAAUUAGGAUUUAAUAAACAUAAUUAUAAUUCAGAUUUAGAGAGGAAAAGGGGGUUAGGGCUUGUAUCUAUUUAAAGAGCCGAAUAUAUCACACUAUGGUCAUCCAAAAACUUACUCUCUUGCUCUCUGUUCUUUGUUGCUCUUUGUUUUCCUUUCUUUCGUCAUUGUACGUUUUGCUAUUCUGAACUAUCAAGUUGAAGUGCAACAUCACAAUCGUAAUAGUAAUUGUAUCAUGGAGAUCAAACUACUUUUGUUAGCCCUUCUUGCACCGAAAUACUGCAUCUUGAGAUCAAGCUUAUUCCAACAUUUUUGUUGUUUCCAUGUUCUUCAAUUUCUCUAAACUUGGUCUCCAUCAGUAUGCCAAGUCAUCAUUUCCAGCUUCCUCUGCUUUCAUUGCCUUCUCUCUGUUUUUAAUUAUUCCCAUCAGUGAAGCUCGUAUUUGCUUGUCAAUUUCCUUCAUUCUCUUAUUUCUUUCUGAAGGUACCAGCCAGCCUAUAAGAAAUAGGAACAAUAGAAAAUACAAGAACGUAUUGAAUGCACUAAUCAAAUCCUACUUAUCGAUUUCAACAAUAUGAUUAACAUCUUAGAUUAACCAUAUGACGACAUGGAUCGAAGUUAUAAGCCCAGGAUGGGUCAAACCUACUUCCAUAUUUUUGGAAGAAAAUCAACUCCUACAUUGCUAAUUACUCCCAGAAGCCGUCCUCAGAAUCACAUCACUAGUUAAUUUUGCAAGAGAAGGCCGUGCACCCAACUCACACGAUCCUCCUUUUGACGUCAGGUUUUCCCACUUUGUAAUUAUUUCACUACAACUUUGCUAGAACGCAGGCAACAUAAGUUGAAACGAAACAGAAAGAAAUUAAAAUGAAGACAUUUAUGUAAACAAAUGAAGAAAUCAAUUAAUAACCUAGAGCUUCUCUUGGUGGAACUGGUUGAUAAGAUUUCUAUAGUAACCCACUUGUCACCUCAUGGCUAACCAAUGCAAGUGCCAAUAAUCUGGCAAGUGGAUCUGAAUUGAUUUUUUGAAAAUCAUUGAUCUUGGUAGAUAUCUCUUUGAUUUGAUCGGGCUUCACAAUAUUCAACCUUCGCGUCGGACCGAACCACAUAAAUGAAUUAUUGCCUGCAUCAAUUUUUAAGCUCUGGUUAUUUUGCUCGUGGCAUAACUUACCACAGCUUGAGUUACACCCAUUGGCCCAUGAUAUCAAGAAAAUUAUUGGUCUCGCAAACAACAUAGCUCAAAUGUUUCAACACCAUACAUAUUUUCUUCAUUAAUUAAAAAAAAUUACGUUUUAACCCAUAAAAAUAUUCAAGAAUUAUCUUGAUGUGUAUGAUCUCUACUAACUACAUUUAUAACGAGAAGUCUAUUUGGAUUUCUUCCACUUAUAUCAGCUCUACAAUUGUGCAAACUGAAUUAGUUUUAUUAAUAAUGGCACAAUCCAGUCGAGAUAUUAUCGUCUAAACUUUCUUUCAAGUCACCAAACAGAAGCCUGCAAGAAUUGCCUUUGAAACCUUUGCUGUCUCAGGAAUUUCUCCAGCUUCUUGGGACCCUCAGCCACACCCAGUUCAGCACUCUCCAUGCCCAGUUCCCACUGUUACGAUAACAAUGGUCAGGUCUAUGGAUUUCAGCGGCAAUUCCAUUUCACACAGAGAGAUUUUUGAAGUGUUCAAAGAAAUGAGACUUGCCUACGUGGUAGAUUAGUUGAAAGUGAAUUAAAAACAUUUUUUCGUUUGCAUAUGUUCAAUGGCUUUUCUUAGUUUCGAAUUUUCCUGUACCAUUAUAUUGUCUCCAGCUAAUGGUACACGUGUCAAUAUCAAUCAUGCAUGUGGUGAUCUUUGUGGACUUGUCACUCAUUGACUGUCUUCUAUAGAACUAGAGAAUGUAAGUUCGGUUAAUUAUUUGAAAAAAAAAAAUUGUUUACCCCUAAUACAUUAAUUAUUCUCAAAAUAUCCUCAAACUAUAAUAAACAUUAAUCAAUCCACAAUUACUAUUAAGAAGGUAAAAAAAGAAAAAAGAAAUCAUCAAUCGUUCCCAUUUGAUCUUAUUUUUUGAAUGAUCAUUAGGGUAAAUUAAGGUUUACAAGAAUUUAGAGAUAACUGAAAUUAACAAAAAAUAAAUAAAAUAAAACUCAUCUAAAUAAAUUAUGCAUGGUGGGCCUAUUUGCCCUUUAAAACAUACUCAAAAUAUACUAUUAUUUAUGUAUACUCAUUUACUUAUUUUAUAAAAAGGGUGGGGCUAUUUGCACUCUUAACAUUACUAGAAUAUUCUUAUUUUAAUAAAUUGUUUUAUUACAAAAAUACUUAUUAUAUGAAUUUCCAAUAUGGAAUCUCUCUUAUAAACUAACAUAAUAAAAUUACUCCAAACACUCACUAUUCAAUAUAUGAUUAUCUUACCAUAAACCCGAAAAAUUUUAAAUCCAAUAUCUUAAACAAUAUUUAGUUAAACAAAGAGCAAAUCAAUACUUUUAAUAUAUUUUGAGCAUAUUUUUACUCUUUGAUUUUCAGAAGACAAAAAAAAAAUUGCUGUCUUCUUCCUCUUCCUCAUCCUUCUUUUAGUCUUCUUUUUCUUCGGCUAUUUCUUCUUCCUCUUUUUUUCCUUUUUUUUCUUUCUUUUUUUUUUUUUUUUGGCUAGAUAGCAAAAAAAUUUUCAAUUGUUUGGUUAAUAAAUUGGGUGCAAAAACUAAUAUUGAAUACAUUCUUUAAUAGACAAAAGCUAAUAAAGAAUAUGUUUAGAAUAUAAUUUGAUUCCUUUGUGUAUAUACUAAGUUGUUAUUAAUUCAUUUUGGAUGCUCAAUAGUUUAAUUGGUGUUUUGAGUAAAUUAGUUUAACUAGUUUAAUUAAGGUCCUUUUUUUUUUAUUUUAAAGAGUGUAGAAAGUAAAAUUUAAUUAUUUUAAAUUCAACACAUUAUUGUACAAAGUAAUAAAGUGUUCAAAGUAAUUUUUGGAGUAUAAAUAACCUAAUCUUUUGAAAAAUGGUGGGACUAUUUGAAUCCACCAUAAUACUCAUUUGACCCAUGUUUUAGAAAACAUUUUUACUACUAAAUUGUCUCUAAUGUAAAUCACUAUUAAAGACAUAAUAGUAUGUAUAUACUUCAUGCUCUCAUCUUUUAAUCAUGUCUAAAUUUGUUCAAUGUGGACAUAAGAGAAAAUUUGUUUCAUACUUUUAAAUUUUUUUAAAAAUUUUCUUCAACUCCUUUGGUCGAAAACAAAUCCAAUCGAGUUGUUGGAUACUUGGAUUUGGUCAAAACUAUCUCACCAGUAAAGCUCAUUGGAAUCCAAUAAACCAAUAAGUUCUAGUCAAGCUAUUCUAGAUUCAAGCAAUAAAAUUUAGGAAAAUUAUCAGUCGUAUACUCUUAAAUGACAUCCGUAUCAAACGUGUGUGAACACUUUUGAAAUGUAUCACUCGUUUACCCUAAGUUGACAAAACACUUCUGCCGUCCGCCAAUCCGUUAACUUCCGUUUGCAAGCGCGAACAUCAUAAGGGCAAUUUAGUCUUUUAAGAUUGACGAAACUUUGAUUUAAAAAAAGGACAUGUCAUCCCAUUUACCUAGUACAAAAUGACAUGUCAUAUGAUAUAUAUUGAUAAAAAUAACAUGUCAUCCCAUUUAUCGGAUAAUUGUAAAUAAUUGCUAAAAAAAACUACUUUACAACCGAAUAUACGCCUUUAAAAUUUAACCUAAUUUUGAAGAUCUACUCCUCCAAGCUCCAACUGGAAAGUUUUAUGGUAUAAUAUGUAUAAUUGUGAAUAAUAUGUUGUUAAUAAUUUUUUAUGGUAUAAUAUGGAUUUUUUUUAUGAAUAAUUGUUAAUAAUAUGUACCAUUAAUAAUUCAUUUUUUUUAAUCAAAAAAAUGUAUUGUUAAUAACAAAAUAAAAAAAAUUGUGUAUUAAAAAUUUACGUUAAUUUUUGGGGUAAAUUUAUCUUUUUACCUUAUAUUUUGAGUUUCAAGGGCAAAAUAGCCAAUUUGUCACAAUUCUGUUAACUUUCUAAUGGAAGUUAACGGAUUGGUGGAUGGCAGAAGUGUUUUGUCAACUUAGGAUAUACGAGUAAUACACUUGAAAAGUGUUCUCAACUUAGGGUAUACGAGUAAUACACUUGAAAAGUGUUCUCAACUUAGGGUAUACGAGUAAUACACUUGAAAAGUGUUCACACACGUUUGAUACGGGUGUCAUUUAAGGGUAUAUGGCUGAUAAUUUCCCUAAAAUUUAUUUCAUUAAAUUUGCACUAUAUAAGAAAGGGAAGAGUUAUGCCAUUGACAAAUAUUGAGCGCUUGAAUUAGUUGUGUAAUCAAUUGAUUAUUCAUUACAACUAUCAUCUUAUUGUCAUUUAAUUUUUUCAUGAUAUUAUAUAUAUUUUAUAGCAGUUUAAUGACAAGCACGGACAAAAAAUAAAUUCCACUUGAGAAGUUGAAGGAUACGACCUUUGGUUAUGAAUGCGUCAAGGGUUGGAGAGCUGGAAGAAGAAGAAGAGAAGAAAAAUGUUGCAGAAAAUCAUGAAUUAAUUUCAAGCAUAUGUUGGUUAUUAACAUGAGUUUAUAAAGUAUAAUAUAAAAUUUUUAACAAUAGAAUUAAUAAGUAGAUGAGUUUACAAAGUAAUUUGGUGGGUUCAAAUAUACUCACUCUUUAAAAUAAUUAGUUUUUACUCUGCACACUCUUUUUUUUUUUUUAUGAGAAAGUAAAGCUUUCAAUUGAUUAAGAAGAAGAGAACAACAUCAACACCUGGACAGGGAAAUCACCUAUCCAGGUGACAGCUUCCUCAAACUCAAGAGCUACAUUAGCUAAGUUAUGGGCAAUUACAUUACACUUUCUUGGGACAAAACGAAUAGCUGCCGAGGCUUGGUUUUUCAACUCUGCUUGUAUUUCUUCAAUGUUCCAACAAAUUUUAGCUCAACUUUCCUUCUUGUUUAAAGUGAGCUCCACAACUUCCUUCAAGUCUGAUUCAACAAUGAAUUGGGCACAAUUUGUUUUCUGACCUACUUGAAUACCGAGCAGCACUGCUUCUGCCUCCAUGUUUGCCACAUUUCCUUUUAAAGCUACUCUCUUAACAGCUGCAGCCACGAUCUCAUAAAAUACUAAAAAAGCUACUCUCUUAAUUCUGCACACUCUUUAAAAUACUAAAAAAGUCCUCAAUAAAACCUUUAAGUAAAUCAAUUAAGAAUUUCAAGUUAAAAUAAAUCUAUACAUGUAAUCACAAUUUAUUAAAAAUGGUAGUAAAACUUUUAUAUUUGAAGUCAAGUACUUAAUUACCAAACUUAAAUAAAUUAAACAAUUAAAAUUUAUUCAUCUUUUUAAAUUUUAAACUAUUAUUAGUCAAAAGUUUCAAAAAUAAAUUAAACUCAACUUAACAUAAAGCUAUUUGGGUGUCAUUGUUUCUUUGUCAUACACUCUACCUUUUUUUUUAAGAACCUACUGUUGAUAGUUUUUCUAUCAAAAACUCCUCAAAAUAUUUAAAUUUUAUCUUCUAACUUGUCCUCUUGGUUAAUGUAACUAAUAACUAAAAUCUCAAAAUUCACAUAAAAGUUUAUGAAAUGUUGAUAGAUAGUUGUUACUAUAUAUCUUUUUUUGUAAGUAUUGGCAUUUUUUCAAUUAAAUUAUUUUUAUAAAUAAAUUAAAACAGUAAUAAUAUUUUAGUCCCCAAAUCUUUUCAAUCUAUUCAAUAAAUAUAUAAUUUAAUUAUUUCAUGAAAUAAGUCACUAAUUCCAACUGGGAAGAAAAUAUAAUUGAAUUAGGAACAUGUUUGAAAAUAAAAUAAAAACUCUAUUAUUUUAUAAAACUGAUUUAAAAAAAACAUAAGGGUAGUUAAAUUAGGGACAUAUAUAAAAAAAAUAAAACUAUAUUAUUAUCUAAAAUUAAUAAAAAAAAUAAGGGGUAUAAAUAACUUUCCUGGACUAAUCCGGGCUACACCCCCGCUUAGGUCCGCUUGCGCACUCAUUACUCCAAAUACAACGUUUAAAAUUUAAAAUCAAAUUUUUACUAUGUAAAAGGGAUAUUAUCAUUUUUCCACCAAAGGUAUUCUGACACAUCAUGUCAGUACCAUGGUUUGAUAAAACUAUCAUUUUACCACCAAACGUUUAAACUGUUAGCAUUUUCCCACCAUUUCGUUAAAACUCAGUUAAUAUUUAACGAAAAAUUAUUAAAAGGUCAAUUUUACCCCUAGAGCGUAAAAGACGAUUUUGCCCUUUAAGAAUGAACAACAAUAAGUGAUGAUUAAAUUACAAAAAUAACCCCAAAAGUAGCUGUUACAUUCAAAUAACGGCUACUUUUAUGCUUAUAAGAGCUGCUGCUGGUUGCCAUUUCAACCCGCAACCAGCAACCCCAAAUCAAAGGCCAGCAAGUAGGGGUGGGCAAAAUCGGGUUCGGAUCAACCCGAUCAGAUUUCGGGUUGAUCGGGUUGGAGAGAAACUCAUCCGAACUCAACCCGAAUUUUAGAUCAGAUCGGAUCGGAUCGGGUUAUAUUCGGGUCGGAUCUAAAAUUCGGAUCAAUUUCGGGUCAAUUCGGGUUAAGGACAAAAAAAGUCAUUUGUGUUAAUUUUGGGUUGUUUAAUAAUUAUUUAAUAAUUACAAGAUCACUUUUAUGCAAUUAGUUCAUUUUAGUCCAUUUCCACUUUCCAAUGACUGUCAUAAAAAAAAUAUAAACUGAAAUAGAAUUGAAAAAGUUGUGAGCUUGGAGGACUUGGUGUCAUGAAUCUCAGUCUCGGUCUCGUUGGAAGAACAACCAUGGAUCACUUCGCGCGGGUCAAGCAGCAGCCGAUGGAUCAAGCGGCAACGGGUUUCGUCGAUGGCUCAUGGCUUCACAGGUUUUGUCGGUGGCUACCGGAAAAGCAGAUCCAAUCGAAGUGAAGUGCAGCAACCGUCGAUGCAGCAGCAAGCAGAUCCUGUCGUCAGUGCAGCAGAUCUGGUCGAGUGGUGUGCUGCAUAUGGCCGUUGCUGUGCUAACCGUCUGUAGUUUUGUUGUUGCGAGAAAGAAGAGAAAGAAGACAGUGAAGAGAAAAAAGAGAGUUGUUUGUGUGAGUUGUGAGAAAGAAGAGAAAGAAGAUAGUGAAGAGAAAGAACACGGAGAGUGAGAAAGAAGAGAAAGAAGAGAGUGAAGAGAAAGAACACAGAGAGUGUUGGUGUGAGUCUGUGAGCCAUAGUGUUCGUAUAUGUUCUGUUUAGCCAUUUAGGUUGUUUGUGUGUGGCGUGUGUGUUUAGAUUUAGGUUUUUUUUUUUAAAGCAACCCGAUCGGGUUUUCGGAUCGGAUCGGAUUUGACCUGAUCCGAUCACAACCCGAUCGGAUUUCCUUUAUAACCCGAUCCGAUCCGAUCCGAACCCGAAAUUUUUCGGGUCGGGUCGGGUAUUUUGCCCACCCCUACCAGCAACCCCAUUUGAGCACCAACAACCCAGCUGAAAAAGAAAGAAAAUGGCAACCCAGCACAACUACAAGCCACAGUAAACAUUUCAAUACCACUGCACCAGCAAGCCCAAGCCAUUUUUAAACACCAGUAAGCUCAUUUUAUUACUAGCAAUCAUGCCAGGUUUGUACAUGCAGGUUUAAAAAGUGUAAUUUUUGGCAAUGGGCAGCAAAAAAAGAUAUGGAAAUGCGUAACAUUACAUCCAAUCAUGGCAUGAACCUAAAUGAAGAUGUGAUGAAGAUAAGUGAACUACUACGAUGCAUUGAAGCGAAACUGAAAUUGGUCGUAGUUUUUAUUUGUGGCAUUGUGAUAGGCUUAUUUAUGAGGAAGUAAUGUAAUAAACAUGAAAAAAUAUUGUAGCAAUCAAUCAUUGUAGCUGAAGAUGUAAUGAAGCAUUAUAGUUUAAGAUGUAAUGCAACUGGAAAGUAAUCAAAACAGUUUGUGGAUUCCAAAAACAUAACAGCAACUUAAUGCACUAAUAUAAAGUUUGUGCAUCCAAAAUACAUAACAACAACUUAAUGCAUUAAUAUAAAGUUUGUGCAUCUAAAAUACAUAACAGUAACUUAAUGCACUAAUAUAAAGUUUUGUGCAUCUAAAAUACAUAACAGCACCUUAAUGGUUAUUUCAUACAGCAUCUAAUAUCUGUGAAGCUUGUGAGCCUUGAGUUGGAUUCGGGGAAACAUUAUCAGCUUCAUAUUGGCCAGGACAAAAAAAUUAUUACCUCAUUAUCUAAGACCAACAGUAGCUAUUUGCAGACAUCAAACAUUAAUUUGAAACAAUAACUUACCAUUGUUACGUCUUCUUACUCCAUCGCCUCUUGCUCUUGCUCUGUUACUCCUUUGGCCCCUUCGGCCUCUAUUCCUUCCUCUUCCUCUAUUACCAGUACCUCAUCUUCCUCUAUGAGCAAUAAAGCUCUCUUGUGAACCACCUACAGCCUAUUUAAAUUGAAAUAUAUAAAUAAUCAAAUCAUCAAUAUUUAUAACAAACUAAAAAUUACUCAAUGAAUAACAAUAAACAAAUUACCACUUUCUUUGUCCUCUUUGAAGUACUUGCUGCAUUAGAACUUUCUCCCGGCCCACUAACUCCCUAUUUAAAAUUACAUAGAUAACAAACAAUAAAAAAUUAAUUUCAAUACACAUAAAAACAAUUAAAACAUUAGGUUAAGUGGCUGUUACCUGCUGAGCUCUUAAUUAUCUUGCUAUCGAUGGCCUUAAUGCACAUUUCCUGACAUUGUGGUUCAUCCCACCACAAAAUGAGCAGCAGAUAUAAAAUGAUUUUUUUUUUUUUAUUGGCUCAGUGGCUGCCCUUUUCCUUGACAUUUUUGGUCUACCAAUCUUCUUGGUAAUCUCAGGUGGAAAGAGCUUGGGCCUAUCACAAGGGUCCCAUGUAACUUUGUUAGGAAUUGGCUUGAACAUCACUGCAUAUGUGUUCAAGUACGCCUCUUUGCCGAAGUAUUUUGGUAGAUACUCUGUUGCUGUGUGUCUAGCAUGACUAAUUGCAGCCAUAACAUGAGUACAGGGGAUUCCAGCUAGGUCCCAAUAACCACAAUCACAAGACCUGCUCAUGAGAUCGACAAUGAACCUCCUUGUUGGAUAAUAACCCUUGUGUUUAACCUAACAAAAAUUACAUAAUGAUUAAAUAAUAAUUAUAAGGUUGAGGAAAAAAAAUUGAUUAACCUAACAAACAUUCAGGUUCAGGAAAAAAUUAAUUAUAAGGAACAUGAGUUAGAAUUAUACUUGAAAGUGAAGAUCCCCAGAAGCCAUUACAUUCAUCUUGCUUCCACAUUCAUAUGCAACAUCCAAUUCUUUUUUCACUCUAGGUGGAAUGUUGGUCUAAGAUUGUGCUUCUUUUUUCCUUUUUGUGAAGAGUGUCAUGAACAUGCAUCUAAUUUCUUCAAGCAUGUUCAAGCAAGGCUUCUCUCUGUGGGGUAAUAUCCAACUAUUAAAACACUCUGAAGUGUUGUUAGUUGUACGAUCUACCUUGCAAUUCUUGUCAUACUCAUGUCUUGACCAAGUAAACCCAGCAAGCUCAGUCUCCAGCCACUGCCAUGCCUCUAACUUCUCUUUUUUGAGGUUUUCCAUUGCAAUAGCGUAAUCAUACUUGUUAGUGCUACUGACAGCCCUCCAAAACAGAUUUCUCAAACUAACACCAGGAUGUUCUUUGUAGAAGUUAGUAUAUAUAUGCCUAGCACAUGGUCUAUGAUAUGCAGUAGGCCAAGUUAUCUCAAUGGCCCCCAACAAACCCUUUUGCCUAUCUUAGCAAAAUGUAAUAUGCUCUAAGCCAUUAUCAAAAUACGAAUGCAGAAUUUCUAAAAACCACGACCAGGUUUCAGUAUUCUCUAUCUCACACACUGCUAAUGCUAAUGGGACCAUUCCAUUAUUAGCAUCCAUACCUGUUGAGUGUUAGAAAAUGCAUAUUUAUAAAGGAGAAAACCGUCAUUUUACAUUUCAAGUCUUAUUAACAACCCUUACUUUUAUGUAUUUAACCUUCUUGUGAUUUAAUUACAUGUCUUUUAUUUUAAUUAAGUAUUUUAUGUAUUUUAGGGGCAUUAUAGUCAUUUCACAAUAAAGGAGAGAUCAGAUGGCAAAACGGACAUCACUUUUGAACUCAGGACGGUCGAAAACCUUAGGAGGAGCAUAAAAGGAAAAAUGACACUAUUCACAUGUACGGUACUAUUCACGUAUACGGUACUGUCUACGUUACUGUUCACGAAACUGUUCACAUAGACGGAUCGAUGACGUGGCAUUGACCGAUGAUGUGGCAUUGACUGAUGAGGUGUCACGAUCCUGUUGGACUAAACUUCUUAUGUACUGUUGAUGGUGACGUGGCAGCAUAUCAGUGGAUGAAAAAUCUCGCGUACGGUGCAUGCAUCACACAGGAUUAUUUUCAACCAAACCGCGUUACUGUUCAUCCGGGUCAAACCGUGUUACUGUUCAUCCGCGUGGUCAAACCGUGGACUGUUGACUGAUGACGUGGCGCAAUCCUGAGCGUCCAAACUAUUUUUAAUCCGAUGGCCAUGAUUUACUCCAUGUAUCUAUAAAAAGGGGGCCUCCCCCCCCUAAUUUGAUAUCUCUGAAUCCAUUUUUGGGAUCCAUUUUCUGUAAUUCCCUCUCCAUCUUGUAUUUUCUUUGUAUUUUAAUAAAUUCCCAUUUUGCCCCUAGUUCAAUUAUGAGUGGCUAAUUUUCUUUCAAGCUUGGGUUGAAGGUGAAGUCUCAACAUGUGUCAUGGGCUUUAUUUGGUAAAUUUAUUUUCUUUUCCCCUCUAGUUUUUGUGGAUGAUUUGACUUAUCGUCGACAAAUAAUACUGAUCUUGUCUAGAUACCGCCUUGGUUACACCGGCUCUCUAGUAUAAGGUUAUUAUUAUUUGGCACGAUAAGCCCUUAGCACCAUAUUGAUUAGAGCGUGGUUCAUGAGGUGUGGAUCCCCCCCUCAUGAUUUAAUUGGCAUUAAUACGGAUUAUUUAGCCCAUGAUGCAUGUUGAUACGGAUCCAGAUACCCAAGUACGUCAUUUCAAUAGAUUUCGCUUCAACUUAUUCUCGCCAUUGCAAUUCCAAUUUUAGAAUUUAUUAUCGCAAUUUCAAUUCCAAUUUUAGGAUAAUUUAAAUCACUUCCACCACAAUUCCAACCACCCAUUUUGCAAAAUUAAUUCUAUACACAAUUAAAAUCCUCCUCCUCGUGGGAUCGACACUCGUCACCAUUGAUCUACACUACAAUAGAUUCAUGCGCUUGCGAGUACAUUAAAAUUUGCACAACAAGUUUUUGGCGCCGUUGCCCGGGGAGGUAAGUAAUUUUAAUUCAUAGAAUUAAUUUUUGUGAAUAAUUUCUUUUAAAUUGUUUUCUUGUAUUUUUUUUAUUAAAAAAAAAAAGGUGAAUCUGCAUUUAAAGGUUAGUAUUUCUUUUCUUUUUCUCUUCUUUAAAAUUCUGUAAUUUAAUUUUCAAUUUAUUUUUUUCUUUGUAAUUUUUAUUUAUUUUAUUAAUUUAAUUUUUAGUUAAUUUAUUUCACGUAUUUGUUUUUGUGUAUUUUUAUAAAAAGGUUGUAAUAGCGCAAUAAGGUUAGUAUCGUAAUUUCUCCCUCUUCUUUAUUUUUAUUUGUUUUGUUCCCAUCUUUAUUUUUAUUUUAUUUGUUUUGCAUGCAUGGUCGUAGGUCAUUAUUACCUAAUCUUGAACCUAUAGACCUUGAAUUAGAAAAAACACUUCGCACACAAAAGCACAUUAAAAAUAAAUUUGGAAUGGAUUUACAAGCACCACAGGAGAGGCCAUUUAAGGACUAUUUUAGUCCCUUAGCUAAUUUGAGCACAUCAUGCAUAAGAUACCCAAAUGUAGCUGCUAGGAGUUUUGAAUUAAAACCUAGUGUGCUAAAUUGUCUCCCCACAUUCUAUGGCUUAGAAAAUGAGGACCCAUAUAAUCAUCUGAAUGAUUUUCAUACCAUUUGUCAAACUUUUAAAUAUGAAAAUUUUUCAGACGAUGAUGUUAAACUCAGAUUAUUCCCAUUUUCUUUAAAGGAUAGAGCUCGUUCAUGGCUUAAUACAUUGCCUGCUAAUAGCAUUGCAUCAUGGGAACAAAUGGUUACAAAAUUUCUAAAUAAAUAUUUCUCAGUGCAUAAAACUAAUUCUAUUCGCAGGGAAAUUUCAGAGUUUACACAAAGAGAGGACGAGCAGUUUUUCGAAACUUGGGAGCGAUUCAAUGGGCUACUCUUGAAGUGUCCACAUCAUGGGUACGAAAAAUGGCAUCAAUGCCAAUACUUUUUGGAGGGAUUAUUGCCGAAUGUGCAAGAAUGGCUAAUGGCAACAAGUAGAGGAGAGCUAAUGUCAAAAAGCGCAACAGAGAUUUGGGAAUUCUUCCAGCGACAAGCGGAUAAUUCCCAACAACGGAGUCGAUCAUUCAGGAAUACUAGAAAAAUUAAAGGAGUAAAUGAGGUUCACAUUGGCGAGUCAACUUCGGAAAUCAAAGAAGUCAAGGAGAUGGUUGAAGGUCUUGCUCGACAAAUAGCAUCGUUAUCGACUGCUAAAUCAACAGAAUCACAUGACCAUGACUCAUAUUCAGAUCAAGCCAAUGCCAUAGGUGUAAUGAGAAAACCAUCGAAUUACAACCCAUACUCCAACACAUAUAAUCCUGGAUGGAGAGAUCACCCCAAUUUUUCAUGGUCUCAAGGAUUCCAACAGAAUGGACCAACAGCUCCAGCUCCACUACUGCAACCAAUUCCUCAAAAUCCUCAAGCCUCUCAGCCACCAUUCAGACCAUACAAUCAGAACCAGAACUACUCUCAACCCAGACCAUGGGAGGAUGCAUUCCAGAAUUUCAAGAAUGUUACUCAUUCUACCAUUGAGCAACAGAACCGCACCAUUGAUGGACUACGAAAUGAAUUGAGAGCGGGCUUUAACUCACAAGCCCAAUCAGUUUCAAGCCUCGAGAAGAUGGUGGGACAACUCGCUUCUUCAGUUCAGACAUUGGCAAUGACUAUUGAGAAAGGCAAGUUUCCAAGUCAACCAGUGCCUAAUCCUAAAGGAGUACAUGAAGCAAGUACCAGUUCACCACAGCAGCAUGGGGAGGUCAAAGCAGUCAUGACCUUGCGAAAAGGAAAAGAAGUCGACAACAAAGUGGAGAUGCCGGUGACCAAAGAAAAUCAAAUUGUACCUGUGAAUGUUGAAGACUCACCACCGGAGGAAAAAGAAGAAACCAACCCACGAGAAUAUGUUCCUAAAGCUCCAUUUCCUCAGAGGUUAGCGAAAGGAAAGAAGGGAAAAUCCACAGGUGAGAUUCUCGAAAUCUUCAAACAGGUAAGUGUUAACAUCCCUUUACUUGAUGCUAUUAAACAAGUUCCAUCUUAUGCCAAGUUUCUUAAAGACCUUUGUACUAAAAAGAGAAACAUGCAUGUUCAAAAGAAGGCAUUUUUAACAGAAAACGUUAGUUCUAUACUCCAACAUAAAAUUCCUUUAAAAUGCAAAGACCCAGGCUCCCCCACUAUCUCAUGUAGUAUAGGGAACCACACAAUUGAGAAUGCUUUGUUGGAUUUAGGAGCUAGUGUAAAUUUGUUGCCUUAUUCAGUAUUUGUGAAACUUGGACUGGGAGAAUUACACCCAACUCCAGUGGUGUUACAGCUUGCAGAUCGGUCCACGAAAAUACCUCGUGGUAUUGUGGAGGACGUGCUUAUCCAGGUAGACAAGUUUUAUUUUCCUGUUGAUUUCAUUGUAAUUGACACUCAACCAAUACAGGACUCAAGGAAGCACAUCCCCAUUAUUCUAGGCCUACCUUUCUUGGCAACUGCGGAUGCUCACAUUCAAUGCAGGACUGGAAAUAUGCAGUUGUCCUUUGGCAACAUGACUAUGGAGCUAAACAUUUUCAACAUUGCCAAACAACCUCAUAGUCCAGAUGAUGGAAUUGUUGAUGUGGAUUUAAUAGAAACAAUAGUCGAUAAUACUUUUAUUUCAAACCUUAGUGAUGACCCUUUACAGACAUGCUUAACUCACUUUGGUUUGAAUUUUGAUAUUGACAGAUCGGUCGAUGAGGUCAACACUCUACUUGACUCAGCACCAUCCAUGGACACUAAUAAAUGGAAGUCAAGAGUUGAACAACUAGCACCAUCAGAGAAGAAAAUCAUCCCAUCAUCAGAAUCACCACCGAAACUCGAGCUCAAACCAUUACCCAACACAUUGGAAUAUGCGUUUUUGGGAGAAGAAAGCACUCUACCGGUAAUCAUCUCAUCAUCCCUAAACGACGAACAAAAAGGUAAGUUAUUGGAUGUUUUAAAAGAGCACAAAGGAGCAUUAGGAUGGACCAUAGCAGAUAUUAAAGGUAUAAACCCAGUAGACUGCAUGCAUUACAUUCACCUUGAUGAAAAUGCUAAAACUACUAGGGAAAUGCAACGUCGGUUAAAUCCUAAUAUGAAAGAAGUUGUUAGAACAGAAGUCCUUAAGCUAUUAGAUGCAGGUAUCAUUUACCCAAUUUCUGAUAGUUCAUGGGUCAGUCCUGUACAAGUUGUCCCCAAAAAGUCAGGAGUCACAGUAGUUACCAAUGCUGAUAAUGAAUUGAUACCAACUAGAGUAACUACAGGAUGGCGUGUAUGCAUUGAUUAUAGAAAAUUGAAUUAUGUCACACGUAAAGACCAUUUUCCUUUACCAUUUAUUGAUCAAAUGCUUGAUAGAUUAGCAGGCCAUGAAUUUUAUUGCUUUCUGGAUGGUUAUUCAGGAUAUAAUCAGAUUCCCAUAGCACCAAAAGAUCAGGAGAAAACUACUUUCACUUGCCCUUUUGGCACUUUUGCAUAUAGGAGAAUGCCAUUUGGAUUAUGUAAUGCACCUGCUACAUUCCAACGAUGCAUGUUGAGCAUUUUUUCUGAUAUGGUUGAACGAUUCCUUGAAGUCUUUAUGGAUGAUUUUUCUGUCUUUGGUGACUCGUUUGAUCAAUGUUUACAUCAUCUAACGCUAGUUCUGCAGAGAUGUAUCGAGAAGAACUUAGUCUUAAAAUGGGAGAAGUGUCAUUUUAUGGUAAAACAAGGUAUUGUUCUCAGUCACAUCAUUUCAAGCAAAGGUAUUGAGGUUGACAAAGCCAAGGUGGAUCUCAUUUCUAAUCUUCCUCCACCUAAAACAGUCAGAGAAGUAAGAUCUUUCCUUGGGCAUGCUGGUUUCUAUAGACGUUUCAUUAAAGAUUUUAGCAAAGUUUCUAGACCCUUAUGCAAUUUACUUGCUAAGGAUGUACCUUUUAUCUUUAAUGAUUCAUGUCUUAUGGCUUUUGAAAAAUUAAAGCGAUUGUUGACAUCAUCACCCAUCAUUCAGGCCCCAAACUGGAGUUUACCAUUUAAGCUCAUGUGUGAUGCAUCUGAUUAUGCAGUAGGAGCAGUAUUAGGACAAAGAGUUGAUCGAAUUCCCCAUGUUAUUUACUAUGCUAGUAUGACAUUGAAUAAUGCACAGUUGAACUAUUCAACUACUGAAAAAGAAAUGCUAGCAGUAGUGUUUGCAUUAGAGAAAUUUCGAUCUUAUCUCAUUGGUUGUAAAAUAAUUAUAUUCACAGAUCAUGCUGCUCUUAAAUAUCUUCUCAUAAAGAAAGAUGCAAAAGCUAGACUAAUUCGUUGGGUGUUACUUUUGCAGGAAUUCGACUUGGAAUUCAAGGAUAAGAAAGGCACAGAGAAUGUUGUAGCGGACCACCUCUCUCGUCUCCAUUUUGACACAAUUACAGAAUCAUUACCAUUGAAUUAGUCAUUUCCAGAUGAACAAUUAAUGAAUGUGGAAGUAUUACCUUGGUAUGCUGAUAUAGUUAAUUAUCUUGUUACAGGUAAACUUCCAGAGCAUUGGACCAAGCAAGACAAGGCUAAAUUCUUUGCGGAAAUAAAGAAUUUCUUUUGGGAUGACCCGUAUUUGUUCAAGUAUUGUGCAGACCAAAUUGUUAGACGAUGUGUCCCUGAAAAUGAAAUUCAGAAUAUUCUUUCAUUCUGCCAUGCACAAGCUUGUGGAGGCCAUUUCAGUGCUAAGAAAACAGCGACUAAAGUUUUACAAUGUGGUUUCUAUUGGCCAACUAUAUUUCGAGAUGCUUACACUUUCUGUUCUUCAUGUGAUAGGUGUCAACGAAUGGGGAGCAUUACACGAAGGAACAUGAUGCCACUAAAUCCAAUUUUAGUGGUUGAGAUUUUUGACGUAUGGGGUAUCGACUUCAUGGGACCCUUUCCUCCGUCUUUUGGUCAUCAAUACAUAUUGGUUGCUGUUGACUACGUAUCGAAAUGGGUGGAAGCAAUUCCAUGCAGAACCAAUGAUCACAAAGUGGUGAUAGGAUUUUUGAAAAGCAACAUUGUUUCACGCUUUGGAUUCCCUCGAGCGAUAAUCAGUGAUGGUGGUGCCCACUUUUGUAACAAAGCAUUCAAAGCUCUUUUGACAAAGUAUUCAAUCACCCACAAAGUGGCGACUCCGUAUCAUCCGCAAACCAGUGGCCAAGUUGAGAUCUCCAAUCGAGAAAUAAAGCACAUAUUAGAAAAGACGGUGAGGCCAGACAGGAAAGAUUGGUCAUUACGACUUGAUGAUGCAUUAUGGGCAUAUAGAACGGCUUUCAAGACCCCGAUUGGGAUGUCACCCUACAGGCUAGUGUAUGGAAAAGCUUGCCACCUACCUGUGGAACUCGAGCAUCGUGCAUAUUGGGCCAUCAAGAAAUUCAACUUUGACAUGCAGCAAGUCAGCUCAGAAAGAAGAUUACAGCUGGCAGAACUUGAAGAAAUUCGCAAUGAUGCAUACGAAAAUGCCAAGAUUUACAAGCAACGAAUGAAAGUCUUCCAUGAUAAGCAAAUUAUGAGAAAAUCGUUCACUCCAGGUCAGAAAGUGUUUUUAUUCAAUUCUCGCUUGCACCUAUUCCCAGGUAAGUUACGCUCUCGAUGGUCUGGUCCCUUUAUUGUUCAUACUGUUUUUCCACAUGGGGCAAUUGAAAUUAAAGACCCAAAGAACGGUGUCACGUUUAAAGUUAAUGGUCAAAGAUUAAAGCCAUAUCUAGAGUACCAACCACAUGAAGAAGACACCGAAAUAAAUUUGAGUGACCCACCAGAUUUGAAUUAAUUUUUUUUCUCUUUUUAUUGAUUUGAUUUUUCUUUCUUUCUUUUUAUUAUUCUUUUGCUAAUUGAAAUUGUUUUUGCAUAAGUGUGUUUAUUUUACCAUUAAGUUUUCUCUUAUCAUUUUUAAUCAUGAGUCUCCUACUUAGACCGUUCCUCCUGAACAUUCUUAAACCACUUCAACGUGUCAAAACUCAUCUCAAAAGGCAGAUUCUAUUUUGUAAAACACAACGCAUUUGGGCUCUACAACCACCAGAGUUAGUAGCCUAUGUUGAGGGUUUAGAACGCCAACUCAGAGAUAUUGAGAGAAGUGUUUACGACAUCCAGUUGGAGCUUGAGGUAAAUUCAAUAAGAGGACGAUUUUAAUUUUCUUUGUGUGUUUUGAUUUGUUUUUCUGUUUGUGUGCUUUAGUUUGUUACCCCGGUGAAGUGGCGGAUAACGGUACUCCGUGACAAUCAAGUCGGUUAACUUCAGUUUCCCAUAAUAACUGAUAUUCUGAGGCGAAGGUAUGGAUACAAACGAGAUUUUAGCAAAGCUUCACAAGCGAUUCCCUUCACUUCCUCAGAAUGCCCUCCUUACGAUCUAUAAAGCCCGGUCUGAACGCAUGCGAUUGCUCAUGAGGAAUAACAUACCUGCAGACAUCCGUUGGUUAAUCGAGGCUAAAGUACGAUCGGCAGGUGAGUUACCUCCAAAAUUUAUUGCAUUCAUGCCUGGUUGUGGUAAAGGAAAUUAUGCAAGAAAACGACGAGCUCGAAGAAUUUCUGUUGCUUGUCAUAAGUGUGCCAGAAUGAGUUGCGAUAAAAACCCAUGUUCUUUAGGAAUGGUGUCUGAUAACAGGGAAGAUAAGAUUCAAUUCAUUAGGGAUGGCUUGAAUAAGGAGUCAUUGGAUGAUAUCCUUUUGUCUCUUGAAACGCAUCCUAGUGGAUAUGUGCAAGGAGCGAUUCUCCAGUUAUGGCCAUUAUUCCAGAAAGAGCAUGCACGAUAUAGUCUCGGGAAUCUGACUAUAAACGACCCUGUUUGCCAGUUUAUAAGAAAACUGGAUAGGAAGCCUAUCCUCGACCCAUAGAGGGCGUUCAAGCCGUUUCUGGACGUAAAACCAGAGGAAGAUGUGAGCCACAGUCGCAACUACCUGUAAAUAUCCUUUUACUUUACUGUUGUUUUAUUUUACUGUUGUUUUAUCGUUUGUAUUAUUAUCUUUAAUAAUUUUAUUACUGUUUGCUUUUUCCUUUUUACUGUUUCCUUUUUGACUCGCGAGCCACGUGCUUUACGCGUUAUUUGACACUGACAUGUUACCUCAUUCACAGCUGUGAUCCACUGUCACCAAGAUUCUUAAAUGUGAUUUAUCUUUUGUCAAGCACUCACAAAUUAUUUUUGAGAAGUAUCACAAUGGCAGCUACUCCCAAUAGACAAUUCAAGAACAUUUGUGUGCUUUCUGGAUUUACCUAUGGCAAACAUAAAGAGUUCGUGGAGGCAGCCAUAGAUCUUGGUCGAAGCAUAGCAGCGAGAAAAUUACAUUUGGUGUAUGGAGGAGGUAACCGAGGGUUAUCAAAAAUGGUCUCAGAAGCAGCUUUUAUCAGAGGAAGUCAAGUGUUAGGCAUCAUCCCAAGAGUCCUAAAACCAUUGGGCAGUUCAUCUAACUCAUCAACUGGAGAAGAGUUAGUCGUCUCAGGUAUGCAAGAAAGAAUAACUGAAAUGCUUAAUCAUGUUGAUGCUUUUAUUUUCCUUCUAGGAGAUCUUGCAACACUAGAGGCACUUAUGACACUAGCAUCUUGGGCCCAUCUGCACAUCCACCAGAAACCCAUCGGUUUGUUAAAUGUCAAUAACUUUUAUGAUGGCUUUAUCGCAUUUCUUAACCAUGCAAUAAAAAACUAUUUCAUUCCUUCUAAUGUGAAAAAACUCUUUAUUUGUGCUCACACUGCUAAUGAGCUACUUGAUAUGUUACAAGCUUAUAAACCGGAGCCAGACCCCUGGACCUUUGUGUUGGAGCGACCAAAUAAUGAUGGUAACAGUAGCCGCAGUAAGAAGUACAAAUUAGAUUUAACUCUCCGCCUGUAAAUAUUUUCUUCUGUGUUGCACCACCCAGGUGAUGUCUUCUAAACUCUACUUCUUUCCUUUAAAACAUUGAGGACAAUGUUUCGUUCUGGUUGGGGGGAGGGAAUAGUCGACAAUUGUGGAAUCUUGGUUAAGUUUUUACUAAUUUUUUGUUGUAGAAACUAACUGUUGCUAACGUUUUGUGUUGAAGAUGGCUGAAUAUGGAGUGUAGUUACUCUAGAAACGCAUCUUCAUCGUUUUAAAAAAAAAAAAAAAAACUCGUUUGCUUCCUCUUUCUCCUUUAUAAAUAUGUAGUUUCAAAUUUUUGAGUCGAAGAUGGCUGAAUAUGGAGUGUAGUGCCUCUAGAAACGCAUCUUCUUAGUUAAAAAAAAAAAAAUCUUUUUCUAAUUAAUUUUUCUACAUCAUUUUCACAUUUCUGCAUGCAUAUUUUCCUUUCAUGUUUAGAAUAGGUUGGGGGGUAGAAUGUUGUUUAAAAAAAAAAAAAAUUUGUGUUAUUUGUUUUAACAUUGGAUGACAUGAUUAAUUUCAAAUUUUAGUAUUUGUAUUAUCUUUGGUCUUAAGUGAUGUUACGCUAUGUUUGCUACUUUACAUGUUGAUGUCGGAGACAAAUAUGAGUUGCUUGAAGGAAUGAACAUGUCAUAAAUAAGUGCCAAGUGAGUUGUUGAGCCUAUCAUUUUCUUGGAGAGUAACCCUUUUGCCCAUUCUCUAUACAGCUUAGCAGUUUAUUAUUUUAUACACGAUCUCUAGAUUUCUUUUGAGUUAACCCUUUAAAAAAAAUGGUAAAAAUAAAAAAAAUAAAAAAUGUGUGUUGCUAUAUUGGGAUGCCCAUUUAACUAGUAGAUAUGGAUAAUUAUUUAGAGCCCUAAAAAACGAUGGAAAGGCCAUCUUUGAUCCGUUUGAGCCUUUCUAGCCAUCCCUGUUAUUAAAUAUCCAUAGUUACCCCUUUUGAGCCUUUAAAAAAAAAAAAAAAUCUUUUCUUUGUCAACUUAUCAUCUUGACCCACUCCGAUUUGGAGUAUUACUCAAUGUCUUUUAAGUUCCAUCACCUAUUUAUGUUUGAGAAAAUGUAAAUAAUUAUGUUGUUCAGUGAAGUUAUGCCAAAAAAAUAAAAAAUAAAAACAAAAAAUAAAAACAAAAACAAAAGUUGUUGUUUCAAAAGAAUAAAAAUAACAAUAAUAGGUGAAAUCCACCUUGCAAGUUCCAAAAAAAAAAAAAAAAAUCUGCAUUUUUCUCAAACAUACACUUUGUUUUCCUUAUUUCCCUUCUUUGUUAGCCAUAUCCCUAGCCUACGUUACGUCCUAAUAAAAGUCCUUCUUGAUUUUAGGAAACUAUAGUUUGAAGUAGAAGCUAGUUAUAUGGGCUAAAAAGAUGUAGUGAUGCAUAAUAAAAAAAAAAGAUAAAUAAAGUGGGUUGACUAACAUUUUAUUUGACUUGAGAUCGUAUUAUUUCUAAGCUGAGGGCAUAUUUAUUUCAUCUUGGUGAGAGCAUGUGAUAUCAUUUCUUUAUUAUUUUCUCUCUCAAUUACCAUUCAUUGGAGUGACUAUGUUUAUUGGGUUUUAAUUUCUUUGUGAGAGUGUCACUACUUCCAGUGAGAUUUUGGGGUUUGACAUGUCAUUCUUGAAAGUAGCUAUAACAAAGUCUACUGGGCUAAUUCAUGUGGAUGGUUGAUGUGGGUGUGAUGUUGCUUUAGACUGAAGAUAAUGCUUAUACUUUUAUUUGAUUGCUAUCAUUAAUCUGAUUGAAUAAACACGAGUGUUCCCAUAAAAAAAAAAAAAAAAUCAUUUUGAAUUUGAAUUUUGUUUUCGCUUUAUUUGCUAGGGACUAGCAAUAAGCUGGUUGGGGGGUGUGUUGAGUGUUAGAAAAUGCAUAUUUAUAAAGGAGAAAACCGUCAUUUUACAUUUCAAGUCUUAUUAACAACCCUUACUUUUAUGUAUUUAACCUUCUUGUGAUUUAAUUACAUGUCUUUUAUUUUAAUUAAGUAUUUUAUGUAUUUUAGGGGCAUUAUAGUCAUUUCACAAUAAAGGAGAGAUCAGAUGGCAAAACGGACAUCACUUUUGAACUCAGGACGGUCGAAAACCUUAGGAGGAGCAUAAAAGGAAAAAUGGCACUAUUCACAUGUACGGUACUAUUCACGUAUACGGUACUGUCUACGUUACUGUUCACGAAACUGUUCACAUAGACGGAUCGAUGACGUGGCAUUGACCGAUGAUGUGGCAUUAACUGAUGAGGUGUCACGAUCCUGUUGGACUAAACUUCUUAUGUACUGUUGAUGGUGACGUGGCAGCAUAUCAGUGGAUGAAAAAUCUCGCGUACGGUGCAUGCAUCACACAGGAUUAUUUUCAACCAAACCGCGUUACUGUUCAUCCGGGUCAAACCGUGUUACUGUUCAUCCGCGUGGUCAAACCGUGGACUGUUGACUGAUGACGUGGCGCAAUCCUGAGCGUCCAAACUAUUUUUAAUCCGAUGGCCAUGAUUUACUCCAUGUAUCUAUAAAAAGGGGGCCUCCCCCCCCCUAAUUUGAUAUCUCUGAAUCCAUUUUUGGGAUCCAUUUUCUGUAAUUCCCUCUCCAUCUUGUAUUUUCUUUGUAUUUUAAUAAAUUCCCAUUUUGCCCCUAGUUCAAUUAUGAGUGGCUAAUUUUCUUUCAAGCUUGGGUUGAAGGUGAAGUCUCAACAUGUGUCAUGGGCUUUAUUUGGUAAAUUUAUUUUCUUUUCCCCUCUAGUUUUUGUGGAUGAUUUGACUUAUCGUCGACAAAUAAUACUGAUCUUGUCUAGAUACCGCCUUGGUUACACCGGCUCUCUAGUAUAAGGUUAUUAUUAUUUGGCACGAUAAGCCCUUAGCACCAUAUUGAUUAGAGCGUGGUUCAUGAGGUGUGGAUCCCCCCCUCAUGAUUUAAUUGGCAUUAAUACGGAUUAUUUAGCCCAUGAUGCAUGUUGAUACGGAUCCAGAUACCCAAGUACGUCAUUUCAAUAGAUUUCGCUUCAACUUAUUCUCGCCAUUGCAAUUCCAAUUUUAGAAUUUAUUAUCGCAAUUUCAAUUCCAAUUUUAGGAUAAUUUAAAUCACUUCCACCACAAUUCCAACCACCCAUUUUGCAAAAUUAAUUCUAUACACAAUUAAAAUCCUCCUCCUCGUGGGAUCGACACUCGUCACCAUUGAUCUACACUACAAUAGAUUCGUGCGCUUGCGAGUACAUUAAAAUUUGCACAACAAUACCCACAGCGGCUAAUAGAACUCCACCAUAUUUUGAUUUCAAGUGACACCCAUCCAACCCGAUAUAUGGCCUACAGCCAUUGUUAAGGGCAUUUUUUUAAGCUGGAAAUGCCAUAAAGAAUCUUUGAAAGAGCACUUUCUCAGGCCUAGUUACAGCAUCACAAAGCACUUUACAAAUUGCACCAGGAUCAUACUUGUGAAUCACUGCAGCAUAUUGAAACAAAUCUUCGUAUCCCCUCGCAUGAUCUCCAUUAAUGUCUUUUCUUGCCCUCUCUCUAGCCCUAUAUAGUUUUAAAUCCCCUAUCCGCACACCAUAAGUCUCCAGCAUAAACUCACGAAGAACAGAAAUCUUCACAUGCGCAUCUACAGCAACUUUGCUCUUAAUUUUCUCUGCUAUCCAUUUAUUGUUCACAGCCACUGACUUUCCAGUCUGUCUACAUUCAUGCUUCUUUUGCAACUCUUCGAUUGCAAAUCCACCCUUGCCCCUUAUUUUACCUCCCAUCACAUACCAUGGACACUCAUUAAUCUUGCAUUUUCUGUAAAAUCUCCUAGGCUCAUUGUACACCUUUGUAAUUUCAAUGCCUUUAUCCACCAUCACUUCACCUAACACAUAUCUAAACUGUUCAACAUCAUCAAAUACAUCUCCUAACCUCAGCCUAUGUUUACCAUUACGCCUUGGCUUAUAUGCAUGCACUUCAAUAUCAUCCUUCAGCUGAGUGGUACCCAAAUCAUAAUAUGAAUCUGAUGUGUCUGCUAACAGCUGAGGAUCUACUUCAGCUGUUUCAUCGUCAGAACUAGAACCCCUAGCAUCAUCCAUAAUAUCUGCACCAUUAUCUUCAUUUUGGUCAUCGUCAUCAGCAUCAUCAUCAUCAGUGUCAUCUAUACGACUCCCAUCAGUUGAAUAUACUACAUCAUCAUCAUCAUUCUCAUGCCCAUCAUUCUCAUUCAGUUCUGUUGGUGGCCCUUGUAUGCCUCCAGUCCUAGGUGGUGGUUCAUUUCCACCAUCAUUCACCCAUGUAAUUUGCUCUGCAGAUAACUGCACUCCACAGUUAUGUAGCAUCGCUUGUAACACCCCACAAAGUGGUAAAUCAGGACGUAGGGUUGGCAAAAUUGUGGCUUCAAACACUGCCACUUCCAUUUAAUCAUGUACAGCGAACUGAGCCUGCAACACUGCCUCAGAAUCUACAGUAAUCGAAAGCUUGUCCCUUGGGUUGGUAACCGAUAACUGCACACUUUCAGGAGUUUCUUCAUCUGCUGCAGGGUAUAUUCUUCAGGUUCAAUCAACCCUAUAGGAUGUCUUUCACCUUUGUAAAGUAAAUGUAGUUGUAAUGGUAACAUCAUCUACCAGAUUAAAAACGAGGAAACAUUUUGAAUAACUAAAAUUACAGCAUAACUCAAAGCAAUUUAAUUAGGUAAAAAGUAAUGAAAAAUAACUAAAAUUAUGGCCAAUAACCAAAAUUUCAGCAAAACGGCAAAUGCAUGUAAGCUUAAUGGUUACAAAUAAAAAAUUAAUUAACAGUAAGCAAAAAUUAAUUAACAAUAGGCAACUAAUAAUCCUAAUCUAUUAAAUUCAAGUGCCAAUCACAACUCAAAGCAAUUUAAUUAGGUAAAAAGUAACGAACAAUAAUCAAAAUUAUGCCCAAUAACCAAAAUUACAGCAAAACGGCAAAUGCAUGUAAGCUUGAUGAUUACAAAUAAAAUGGCAAAAAUUCAUUAACAAUAACCAAGCAGUAAUCCUACUUACAAUGGACAAAGUAGAAGACAGUAGAGAUGGAAGAACACUGCUGCGAGAGUGAGAGAGAUAUGCGUCAGUUACAAUGAGCGAGAGAGAGCAGAGAUGGAAGAAGAAUCGAGAGAGAGGGGGAUUGAUUUCGAUUUCUAGGGCUCCAUGUCCAAAUUGCCCGCUUUCUUUACAAUUGCAAAACGCAACGUUUUCGCCUCACGUGAUAUGUCCAAAAUACCCUUAUGACGUCAGCAUAAUUUUUAUUCAGUUAACGGAAUUGUGGGAAAAUGCUAACAGUUUAAACAUUUAGUGGUAAAAUGAUAGUUUUACCAAACCAUGGUACUGACAUGAUGUGUCAGAAUACCUUUAGUGGGAAAAUGAUAAUAUCCCUAUGUAAAAUAUAUAAAUCUAAAAAAUAGUCUUGAAUUUUUUUUUUUUUUGGGCUCCUGUUUUAUUAUUCUUUUUCUAAAGUAAUUUUCUCUCUUCUUAUUAAAGGCUUGAGAUAAAUUAUAUAUCCCUUUUUCUUUUAUUGAAUCAUAAUUCUUCGUUUCUUCUAUUGAAUCAUAGUUCUUGUGAUUUUGAUUUUUAGUAUGUAUUGCCUACAAUUUAUCAUUGAGGUAUCAGUUACAUAAAUAUAAUUUUCCAUUAAUCUUAUUUCGAAGAUGUUAAUGAAAUAUAUUUGGUGAAAACGAUAUUAGAGUGAGGAUACGUGCACCCAUGACAAAAAUUUGCAAAGAACUCUUCAAUCUUUCAAAUUUUCCAAUUGAUAAAGAAUUGAUUUAAAAAGAAGAAGAAGAUGAUGAUGGUGAUUUAAGAUUUUAUAAUACAUGGGUGUGUCAAGGAUAUUUGUUUCAAGUUAAAAUUAUUCAAUCCUUAAUACUAAUUUCAUAAAAGGACGUUUUUAUAAUCUAAAAUUUUAUUAAAUAAAGAGGAUUAAAAAUAACUUUUAGAAUAUAUAAAUAAAUAGCCUCUCUCGAUUAUAAAGUACAAGGUCACUCGAUGAUGUCAUGAAUUUAUGUAAUCAAAUAUGAAUUAUGUAAAUGAAACAUAAGACUUAUAAAUUUAAUAUAAAACAUGUAAAUCAAUAUUAACUGUGAACUAACAUAUAAAUUAUGUAAAUAAAAUAUUAGACUUGUAAGUAGAAGGUAAAACAAACAAAUUAAUAUAGGAGUGAUAAAUUGGUAUAUUAUUGGUAAAUAAAAGAAAAACUUACAAAUGUAAUAUAUAAUUUAUAAAUCAAUAUUAAGUGUGAAAUAAAAUAUAAAUUGCGUAAAUGAAACAUAAGACAUGUAAAUAAAAGAUAAAAUAAGUAAAUUAAUAUAAGAUAUAAUAUAAAACUAUUAGUAGUAAACAAAAUAAAAAUUUAAAGAUAUAAUAUAAAACUAUAAAUCAAUAUUAAGUACAAAAUAAAACAUAAGUUUAGGUGUAAUUUACAAAAUUAAUAUAAGAUUUAUUAAAAAAAACUUACAAAUGUAAAAUAAAAAUUCAUUAUAAUAUUGAUUACCUUAUAUAUUUAUUGAUUCUAUUUUAAAUUGAAUAAUGAUAGUUUUUAUCUUAUGUAAUAAAUGUGAUGUUUUAUAUAAAUUUAUUCUCAAAAUUAGAUUUUGAAAUCUAUUCUUUUAAUGUUUUUCGAAUUUAUUGUAAGAUGACAUGAUUUUUCAUCCUUCUAAAUCUCCUCAUCAGCAAUGCAAAUAGUUUCUAAAUACAAGUAAGGGGUGACGGUUAAAAUUACAAGAAGUUUAUGUAAAACUCAAAACUAGAUUUAAUUUUAUUAAUAUGUCAUCUAUGUGUUUAGUAAUAUAAGAAUAUAUUUUUAUUUUAUUUUUUGUUUAAUCCACAUUAAGAUAAAUUAUUUCGCAUAGUUAACUUGUGUAGUAAAACAAAAAAAAAAAAUGACAGAAAAUGAAAAAAAAUAAGUUUAUAAAUAUCUUAAGACAAAUAUAGAAUUUAUUCUUAAACCAAUUUAGUAAAACUUAUUCUACUUGUUUUCAGUAUAAUUUUUUUGGUCUUAGAUUGAUGACUAUUUUUUUUUCAUUGUUUAGCUAAAGUAAAUGAAUAAAUUAUUUUUUCACUAAAAUUAUGUAGAAAUCAUGUUAAUUAUUUUAAUAAUUAACUGGUUUAUAUUAAUUUACAUGUUUUAUCUUCCAAUCACUUAUCUUAUGUAUAAUUUUAUAAAAUAUAUUUUUUACCACACCAUUAAUGCUGUAAUUCUAAUCAUGGCAUUAUAAAAUUUUCCAAUGUGGGGAAACUUCUUUACUCUAAAUAAAACUAGAGUUGUGUUGAGCACAAUUUAAAUAUCUAAACAGAGUUCCGUUGGCAUUAAACUUCAUUAUAAAAGAGUCUACAUUGGCAUCAUGCUAAUCUUAUUGACAAUAUAUAGUUGCCGGUAUUAAUUAUUUUUGCACCAUAGCUUCCGUAGAAUCAAUUGGGUACCCAGUUCCGGAUGAAGGGUUGGAACCGCCGUUGGAGCAUGUACAUAAGAUGGAGACAACUCGAAUGAGUAGUUUUGAAGAAUCAUUGCCGUGGCCAUUUUUGCUUCUACUAGAGCAAAAUUUUGUCCAACACAUAUCCUAGGACCCAAUGCGAAUGGGAAAUAUGAAACUUGAUUUUUCGCCGCCUUUGAAAUUCCUUCCGCAAACCUUUCCGGCUUAAACUCAACUGCAUCGUCACCCCAAAGUUCAGGAUCCUGGUGAACUAGGAUCAUUGGCAAGCCAAUUUGAACCCCAGCGGGUAAUGUCAAGUUUCCGAGUUUCGUUUCCUUAAAAACAGCUCGACUAAGCACAGUUACGGGCGGAUAAAGCCUGAGUACCUCGUAAAGUAUCAUCUGGACCUGUCACAUACAUACAAACACAACUGAGAUUAAUAUGAUCAAAUUGAUCAAUAUCGAAUACUAUUUCCUUCGUACUUACAAUUUUGAGGUGAUUCAAUCCAUCAUAGUCGGGCUUAUUAUUGCCAAACACUUGCAAAACCUCUUGCCUUGCACGUUCUUGCCAAUCUUGAUGCUUGCUCAAUAAGACCAUCGUCCAAUUAAGCAAAACAGAGGUAGUCUCUUGGCCGGCAAAGUAAAAUAGCUUACACUCUUCAAUCACAUCGUUCAUGCUGAACCCAACAUUUUUGUUAUUUCCAUGUUCUUCAAUCUCUCUAAAACUGGUUUCCAUCAGUAUGCCUAACAAGUCAUCAUUCGCAGCUUCCCCUGCUCUCAUUGCCUUCUCCCUAUUUUUGAUGAUUCCCAUCAAUGAAGCCCGGAUUUCCUUGUCAAUUUCUUUCAUUCUCCUAUUUCUCUUUGUAGGUAAAAACCUAUAUAUAACCAAUGAAACAACUGAAAAGACAAGAACUAAACAAACUAAUCAAACCCUUAAUUUUUUUUUUGCCCUCUUUUACCAAUCAGAAAUCUGCUGGAGCCUCUUAGAAUAACUCUAUGAUUAGCACAAUCAAGAUAUCUGAGCCGAAAUCAGCUAGGUCUACUUCUAAUAUUUUGCGGGAAAGAAAAUAACUCCCACAAAGCUAAUCAAAGCCUACUCAUAAAUAAUCCUAUAUGACAUGUAUAUAUGAAUGUUUCCAGUGAAGAGAAAUGUGAAUAUACCUCCAUCCUGGAAUGUGAACUGAACGAAAGACUUGCAUUGUGAGUUCAGCUAGCUCUGCCUGGAGCUGAAAAAUCCUUCUUCCUUCUUCAUAACUACUCCCAAAAGCCGUUCGAGAAAUCACAUCACUUGUUAAAUUUGCAAGAUAAGGCCAUACAUCCAACUCAGAUGAUCCUUCUACAGACAUUUGCUUCUCCCACUUUGUAAUUAUUUCGAUACAACUCAAGUAGAAUGCUGGCAACAUAAGCUGUAACAAAAGCAAGAAAUCUAAAUGAGGGCAAAAUCGAAUCUUCCAAAGAUAUGUAAACAAAUGGAGAAGUUAAUUAAUAAACCUUGAGCUUCUCUUGGUGGAAGGCUGGGUUGAUGAGUUUUCUAUGUUUAGCCCACUUCUCCCCCUCAAGGGUAGCCAAUCCAACUAUCAGCAGCCUGGCAAGUGGGAUUGAAUUGACUUUUUGAAAAUCAUUGAUCCUGGUAAAUAUCUCUUUUAUUUGAUCAGGAUUCAUAAUGUUCACCCUUGGUGUCGGACCAAACCACAUGAAAGAAUUCUUACCUGCAGAAUUUUUUUACCAAUAUAUACGCACAUGUUACUUGCUAGAGGCAGAUGGUACAUUGAAAAUGGUAGUAUACCUAAGCUGUGAAAAUUUAGUUAUUUUAUUCACAAAUCAGUCAAAGAAUAACCAUUCAUACUAAUUGAUUUUACUUCAAGCAGAAAAGAUCUAACAAGCAACUUUGCCCAUUAUAAGGUAAACAAUUAGAAACAUGGCACGAUUUUAUAAGAUUAUGUAAAAGCCUAAUGGCUUUGAAACAGUGAAUUAAUCAGACAACACUCAGCAAAAGGAACAACGCUGCCCUCUGGAAAUUUUACAUGUGGCAUAGCCCAUCCACUGGUUGAAUUACACCCACACGCCUAUCUCAUCAAGACAUUAGUGGUUCUAGCCACUCGGUCAAGGCUGAGUGGUAAAGUAUCACCACUUAAUUAAAAAGAAAAGAGAGAGAGAGAGAGAGAAGUUUAGCUGCAACAUCGAUUUUUUUCUCUGAUCAAAGAAGCGUAAAAAUAAAAUUAUGUUUUAACCCACCAAAAUUUUCCAGAAUUAUCUUUACGUGAAACAUCUCUUCUGAAUCAGAAGUCUAAUCAAAUUUCUUUCAUCAGACAGGAUUAAUUCUUUAAGCAGUGGCGCAGUCCAGAUAUUUGAGUCAUUUGAGUCCAGAACAGAACAAAUCUACUUUUGAACGAGUAAAGUUAAAAGAGUACACGCCGGGAUUGACAUACAUACCAUAAUCAUUUACCAGUUUAUGAAGGAAUGGAUUGACACGAAUAGCAAUAUUGUCAUCCAAACUGAGGGGUCUGGCUUUGGCUUCCUUCAGCUCGAUGGAAUUUUCUUUCAAGUCACCAAACAGAAGCCUGUAAGAAUUGCCUUUUAAACCUUGCUGUCUCAGGAAUUUCUCCAGCUUCUCGGGCCUCAGCCACACCCAGUUCAGCACUCUCCAUGCCCAUGUUAGCACCGUUACAAUAACAAUGGUCAAAGCUAUGGAUUUCAGAGGCAACUCCAUUUCACACUGACAGAUUUUGUGGGUUUAAAUUUGAAGAGACGAACGAGAAGAGUAUAUAUAGUCAUCAAGCGAAUGAGAAAAUCGUUUUCCUUUGCAUGUGUCUUUGAUUAGGUGUUUUCUGGAUCGAUGAUUUCAGAAUUUCCCCGGACAAAGACAUUGUCCCCAGUAAGCGGUGUUAACGAUACGUGUCAAGCUUGCAUGCGACUGUGAACUGUGGACUUUGUUCUAGAACUAGACUGUAUGGGAUCGAUUAAUUUUAAAAAAUAAACUAAAAUUCAUAUAGUAAGAAUUUUUAAGUAUAAAUGUUUGUAAAAUAAAAUCUAAACCUACAUUUGAAUGGCAAGCAUCUAUAAACAAGAUCUGUAUUCUGUCAUAUGACGCCAGGAAAUAUACUGCCUUUUCGUAAAUGCAUAAUCAAGCAGCAUGAUGUGCUCUGCUUUCACACGAAUGUAGGUCCACUAUGUCUUGGCUUUUACGGAAUUUCAAUUAUAUUGUUAUGGGGAUUAAUGGCUCUGCUUAAUUUUGGGGCCUGCUUUCAGAGAAAUGCAAAACGAUUAGAACUCUGCUUUGUGAUACAGACAAGACGCAAUGGUUCUAUCAUCUUCAUCUCUACUAUUUCAUUUAUCUUUAUCAUGAAUAUAAUCCACGAUUCUCAAACAUGAUAAACAAGGUCACAAACUAUGGUGUACCAAUCGGCUGUUUUUUUUUUUUAACUUAAUUAAUUUAAUUUUAACCAUUUAAAUCAUUGAGUCCAUUUAUUUUUUCAACUUAAUGAAAAUUUUCAAUCACUAAAUCAUUCAGUUAUCAAGCUAAUUUUUAAAUUUUUUGUUUAAUCUAAAAAGUCUAAAUAAUAACAUUAAAAGAUAUUCUCUAAAAUAUCUCUAUCUAAUUAAUUAAUUUUUACCCUUACCUAAAUAAAUUUUAAUAAUUGAUGUUAUUACCUACCUCUAUAACUUGUGAUAAUAUAGUGCACUAGUAGACUACUAUUAUUUUUAAUUUUUUAUUUUCUUCAAAUUAAAAUUAUUUAUCUUCAUAAUUUUUCAUCAAUAUUUUUCAUAUAAAAACAUCGUAAACUAUAGUAAAAAUGAUUAAUAUAUACUAAUUUAGAAUAUUAAAAAGAGUAUAGACAUUAUGAGACAGUAUCAUUAAGCAGCUACUGGAAUAAGAUGUUAUGAGCCUAAAUUUUAUAAGGUCAAAGUUGAAUUUGGCCGAUCCUCUAACCAAAAAAACUAAACAAGAGUUUAGUAGAGAUCACAUCAAGGGAGAUGGGACUAGUGUCUAGAUUAGAAGACAAGAGUGAUGGUAACCCUACCUAUGUGAUUGGAGAUCACAUGAAAAAUGUUCAAUAAGUUACUUGUUGUUUUGGAACACUAUCAAUAUUAUGUAAUCUUAUUUUUAUUCAAUAAAGAUUUUCUUUAUUUAUAAGUCCUCGUUAUAAUAAGAUAAUGUUUAUCGCAGUGAGUUAGGUUAAGCAAUUGAGCUUUUAAUGAACUCCAUAACUCACUUUUUAUGUAUGGUGGUGUGUUAAAACUGCAUGACAUACUUGAUGGAGGUUCACCUAUGUUAGUGUGGAAUUGGAUAAGUUCCUAUGAGAGUUAAACAUGCUUCUCUAGAGCGCUCAUGAAUACAAGAGCACAGGGCUACUAAAGUGCCAAACCGUAGAACAACAAAACAUUGAGAGAGUUUAAUGUGAGCUUCUAGUCAGCUGCCUUACAAAAAAAAGAAUAUUGGUUUAUAGAAAUUAUCAGUUUCACCAAGUUCCUAUGACACAUGGUUAGUUAUUCAAUGGCCAAUUCAUAACCCAAAUGGCACCAGUUCAUAUGCAUUAAACUCUAUGGACAAUGAUGAAAGAAAUUGAGUAUUUUGAAAUAUGUGGAGGAUUGUUAAAGAUUGAGUUUGUAUUUUAAAAUACCAAUAUUCCACAUUGCUUAAACAACAGAGUAUAAGUUGGUUUUUAUAUAGAUACCAAAUAUAGUGUAGUAACAAGCCUAUGAAGAGGAGGCCCAUAUGCAUGAAACCAAGAGCGAGUGAGGAGCUCAUUCCAUGACUCUAUUAAUUGGUUGCUCGUACCCAAUAACUCACUCGCAAUGGGGACCCUCCUUCCCCCCAUGGGGUGUUGUGUAUAUGUGUGGGCUUGGCCAUUUAUUAUGUUUUUGUCCUUUGUUUUAAUUUUAUUUAUUUUAAUUUGAAUUAAAUUGAGAAUUUAAUUCCUAAUCGAAUUAGGAUUUAAUAAAUAUAAUUAGAGUGAUGAUACAGCCAUAAACUCUUGUACAAACUUAUUUUGUACAAACUGAUGUGUCAUUAAUUCAUUGGCUGAAUAAAAAUAUAAAAUAAUAAAAAUAAAUCAUGUGGGCCAAGUAAUAUUUAAUUUAACCAAUCUUAUCAUGCCACAUCAGUUUGUACAAAAUAAGUUUGUACAAGAGUUCGUGACUAUAUCAUUACUCAUAUAAUUAUAAUUCGAAUUUAGAGAGGAAAAAGGGGUUAGGGCUUGUAUCUAUUUAAAGAGCCGAAUAUAUCACACUAUGGUCAUCCGAAAAUUUACUCUCUUGCUCUCUUCAUCCGAAAACUUACUCUCUUGCUCUCUGUUCUUUGUUGCUCUCUGUUUUCCUUUCUUUCGUCAUUGUACGUUUUGCUAUUCUAAACUAUCAAGUUGAAGUGCAACAUCACAAUCGUAAUAGUAAUUGUAUCAUAGAAAUCAAACUACUUUUGUUAGCCCUUCUUGCACCGAAAUACUGCAUCUUGAGAUAUCUUAAGGACAGUGCUAUCGCCAGCCUUAAAUGUUUGUUGUUUCCGUCCAAAUUUCAUUGUUUUUCAUCCUAAAAUUCCGACUGCUAGACCAGUAUAACUACUGGGGGAUAGAGCCUGGAUACCUAGUAGAAUAUCAUUUGAACAUGUAAGAUAUGCACACAAAAAGCAAAUUAAUACGACCAAAAUUUAUCAACUAUAGUAAAGCAUAUUUCAACUCAAUUUCAUUCGUACUUACAAUUUUGAGGUGAUUCAAUCCACCAUAAUCUUGCAAAAAACUUGCAAAAACUCUUUUCUUGCACGUUCUUGCCAAUCUUGAUGCUUGCUCAAUAGCAACAUUGUCCAAUUAAGCAAAACAGAGGUAGUCUCCUGGCCAGCAAAGUAAAAUUGCUUGCACUUUUCGAUCACAUCGUUGAAGCUUAUUCCAACAUUUUUGUUGUUUCCAUGUUCUUCAAUUUCUCUAAAAUUGGUCUCCAUCGGUAUGCCAAGUCAUCAUUUCCAGCUUCCUCUGCUUUCAUUGCCUUCUCUCUGUUUUUAAUUAUUCCCAUCAGUGAAGCUCGUAUUUGCUUGUCAAUUUCCUUCAUUCUCUUAUUUCUUUCUGAAGGUACCAGCCAGCCUAUAAGAAAUAGGAACAAUAGAAAAUACAAGAACGUAUUGAAUGCACUAAUCAAAUCCUACUUAUCGAUUUCAACAAUAUGAUUAACAUCUUAGAUUAACUAUAUGACGACAUGGAUCGAAGUUAUAAGCCCAGGAUGGGCCAAACCUACUUCCAUAUUUUUGAAAGAAAAUCAACUCCUACAUUGCUAAUUACUCCCAGAAGCCGUCCUCAGAAUCACAUCACUAGUUAAUUUUGCAAGAGAAGGCCGUACACCCAACUCACACGAUCCUCCUUUGGACGUCAGGUUCUCCCACUUUGUAAUUAUUUCACUACAACUUUGGUAGAACGCAGGCAACAUAAGUUGAAACGAAACAGAAAGAAAUUAAAAUGAAGACAUUUAUGUAAACAAAUGAAGAAAUCAAUUAAUAACCUAGAGCUUCUCUUGGUGGAACUGGUUCAUAAGAUUUCUAUAUUAACCCACUUGUCACCUCAUGGCUAACCAAUGCAAGUGCCAAUAAUCUGGCAAGUGGAUCUGAAUUGAUUUUUUGAAAAUCAUUGAUCUUGGUAGAUAUCUCUUUGAUUUGAUCGGGCUUCACAAUAUUCAACCUUCGUGUCGGACCGAACCACAUAAAUGAAUUAUUGCCUGCAUCAAUUUUUAAGCUCUGGUUAUUUUGCUCGUGGCAUAACUUACCACAGCUUGAGUUACACCCAUUAGCCCAUGAUAUCAAGAAAAUUAUUGGUCUCGCAAACAACAUAGCUCAAAUGUUUCAACACCAUACAUAUUUUCUUCAUUAAUAAAAAAACAAUUACGUUUUAACCCAUAAAAAUAUUCAAGAAUUAUCUUGAUGUGUAUGAUCUCUACUAACUACAAUUAUAACGAGAAGUCUAUUUGGAUUUCUUCCACUUAUAACAGCUCUACAAUUGUGCAAACUGAAUUAGUUUUAUUAAUAAUGGCACAAUCCAGUCGAGAUAUUAUCGUCUAAACUUUCUUUCAAGUCACCAAACAGAAGCCUGCAAGAAUUGCCUUUGAAACCUUUGCUGUCUCAGGAAUUUCUCCAGCUUCUUGGGCCCCUCAGCCACACCCAGUUCAGCACUCUCCAUGCCCAGUUCCCACUGUUACGAUAACAAUGGUCAGGUCUAUGGAUUUCAGGGGCAAUUCCAUUUCACACAGAGAGAUUUUUGAAGUGUUCAAAGAAAUGAGACUUGCCUACGUGGUAGAUUAGUUGAAAGUGAAUUAAAAAAAUAUUUUCGUUUGCAUAUGUUUAAUGGCUUUUCUUAGUUUCGAAUUUUCCUGUACCAUUAUAUUGUUUCCAGCUAAUGGUACACGUGUCAAUAUCAAUCAUGCAUGUGGUGAUCUUUGUGGACUUGUCACUCAUUGACUGUCUUCUAUAGAACUAGAGAAUGUAAGUUCGGUUAAUUAUUUGAAAAAAAAAAUUGUUUACCCCUAAUACAUUAAUUAUUCUCAAAAUAUCCUCAAACUAUAAUAAACAUUAAUCAAUCCACAAUUACUAUUAAGAAGGUAAAAAAAGAAAAAAGAAAUCAUCAAUCGUUCCCAUUUGAUCUUAUUUUUUGAAUGAUCAUUAGGGUAAAUUAAGGUUUACAAUAAUUUAGAGAUAACUGAAAUUAAUAAAAAAAUAAAUAAAAUAAAACUCAUCUAAAUAAAUUAUGCAUGGUGGGCCUAUUUGCGCUUUAAAAAAUACUCAAAAUAUACUAUUAUUUAUGUAUACUCAUUUACUUAUUUUAUAAAAAGGGUAGGGCUAUUUGCACUCUUAACAUUACUAUGAAUAUUCUUAUUUUAAUAAAUUAUUUUAUUACAAAAAUACCUAUUAUAUGAAUUACUAAUAUGGAAUCUCUCUUAUAAACUAACAUAAUAAAAUUACUCCAAACACUCACUAUUCAAUAUAUGAUUAUCUUGCCAUAAACCCGAAAAAUUUUUAAUCCAAUAUCUUAAACAAUAUUUAGUUAAACAAAGAGCAAAUCAAUACUUUUAAUAUAUUUUGAGCAUAUUUUUACUCUUUGAUUUUCAGAAGAAAAAAAAAAUUGCAGUCUUCUUCCUCUUCCUCAUCCUUCUUUUAGUCUUCUUUUUCUUCGGCUAUUUCUUCUUCCUCUUGUUUUCCUUUUUUUCUUUUUUUCUUUUUUUUUGGCUAGAUGGCAAAAAUAUUUUCAAUUGUUUGGUUAAAAAAUUGGGUGCAAAAACUAAUAUUGAAUACAUUCUUUAAUAGACAAAAGCUAAUAAAGAAUAUGUUUAGAAUAUAAUUUGAUUCCUUUGUGUACAUACUAAGUUGUUAUUAAUUCAUUUUGGAUGCUCAAUAGUUUAAUUGGUGUUUUGAGUAAAUUAGUUUAACUAGUUUAAUUAAGGUCUUUUUUUUGUAUUUUAAAGAGUGUAGAAAGUAAAUUUUAAUUAUUUUAAAUUCAGCACAUGAUUGUACAGACUAAUAAAGUGUUCAAAGUAAUUUUUGGAGUAUAAAUAACCUAAUCUUUUGAAAAAUGGUGGGACUAUUUGAAUCCACCAUAAUACUCAUUUGACCCACUUUUUAGAAAACAUUUUUACUACUAAAUUGUCUCUAACGUAAAUCACUAUUAAAGACAUAAUAGUAUGUAUAUACUUCAUGCUCUCAUCUUUUAAUCAUGUCUAAAUCUGUUCAAUGUAGACAUAAGAGAAAAUUGGUUUCAUACUUUUAAAUUUUUUUUAAAAUUUUCUUCAACUCCUUUGGUCGAAAACAAAUCUAAUCGAGUUGUUGGAUACUUGGAUUUGGUCAAAACUAUCUCACCAGUAAAGCUCAUUCGAAUCCAAUAAACCAAUAAGUUCUAGUCAAGAUAUUCUAGAUUCAAGCAAUAAAAUUUAGGAAAAUUAUCAGUCAUAUACUUUUAAAUGACACCCGCAUUAAACGUGUGUGAACACUUUUCAAAUGUAUCACUCGUGUACCCUAAGAUGACAAAACACUUCUGCCAUCCGCCAAUCCGUUAACUUCCGUUUGCAAGCGUUGACAUCAUAAGGGCAAUUUAGUCUUUUAAGAUUGACGAAACUUUGAUUUACAAAAACGACAUGUCAUCUCAUUUACCUAGUACAAAAUGACAUGUCAUAUGAUAUAUAUUGACAAAAAUGACAUGUCAUCCCAUUUAUCGGAUAAUUGUUAAUAAUUGCUAAAAAAACUACUUUACAACCGAAUCUACUCCUCUAAAAUUUAACCUAAUUUUGAAGAUCUACUCCUCCAAGUUCCAACUGGAAAGUUUUAUGGUAUAAUAUGUAUAAUUGUGAAUAAUAUGUUGUUAAUAAUUUUUUAUGGUAUAAUAUGGAUAUUUUUUAUGAAUAAUUGUUAAUAAUAUGUACCAUUAAUAAUUCAUUUUUUUAAUAAAAAAAUGUAUUGUUAAUAACAAAAUAAAAAAAAAUUGUGUAUUGAAAAUUUACGUUAAUUUUUGGGGUAAAUUUAUCUUUUUACCUUAUAUUUUGAGUUUCAAGGGUAAAAUAGUCAAUUUGUCACAAUUCUGUUAACUUUCUAAUGGAAGUUAACGAAUCUAAUGGAAGUUAACGAAUUGAUGGAUGGCAUAAGUGUUUUGUCAACUUAGGGUAUACGAGUAAUACACUUGAAAAGUGUUCACACACGUUUGAUACGGGUGUCAUUUAAGAGUAUAUGGCUGAUAAUUUCCCUAAAAUUUAUUUCAUUAAAUUUGCACUAUAUAAGAAAGGGAAAAGUUAUGCCAUUGACAAAUAUUGAGCGCUUGAAUUAGUUGUGUGAUCAAUUGAUUAUUGAUUACAACUAUCAUCUUAUUGUCAUUUAAUUUUUUCAUGAUAUUAUAUAUAUUUUAUAGCAGUUUAAUGACAAGCACGGACAAAAAAUAAAUUCCACUUGAGAAGUUGAAGGAUACGACCUUUGGUUAUGAAUGCGUCAAGGGUUGGAGAGAUGGAAGAAGAAGAAGAGAAGAAAAAUGUUGCAGAAAAUCAUGAAUUAAUUUCAAGGAUAUGUUGGUUAUUAACAUGGGUUUAUAAAGUAUAAUAUAAAAUUUUUAACAAUAGAAUUAAUAAGUAGAUGAGUUUACAAAGUAAUUUGGUGGGUUCAAAUAUACUCACUCUUUAAAAUAAUUAGUUUUUACUCUGCAUACUCUUUUUUUUUUUUUUAUGAGAAAGUAAAGCUUUCAAUUGAUUAAGAAGAAGAAAACAACAUCAACACCUAGACAGGGAAAUCACCUAUCCAGGUGACAGCAUCCUCAAACUCAAGAGCUACAUUAGCUAAGUUAUGGGCUAUUACAUUACACUUUCUUGGGACAAAACGAAUAGCUGCCGAGGCCUGGUUUUUCAACUCUGCUUGUAUUUCUUCAAUGUUCCAACAAAUUUUAGCUAAACUUUCCUUCUUGUUUAAAGUGAGCUCCACAACUUCCUUCAAGUCUGAUUCAACAAUGAAUUGGGCACAAUUUGUUUUCUGAGCUACUUGAAUACCGAGCAGCACUGCUUCUGCCUCCAUGUUUGCCACAUUUCCUUUUAAAGCUACUCUCUUAACAGCUGCAGCCAUGAUCUCAUAAAAUACUAAAAAAGCUACUCUCUUAACUCUAUACACUCUUUAAAAUACUAAAAAAGUCCUCAACAAAACCUUUAAGUAAAUCAAUUAAGAAUUUCAAGCUAAAAUAAAUCUAUACAUGUAAUCACAAUUUAUUAAAAAUGGUAGUAAAACUUUUAUAUUUGAAGUCAAGUACUUAAUUACCAAGCUUAAAUAAAUUAAACAAUUAAAAUUUAUUCAUCUUUUUAAAUUUUAAAAUAUUAUUAGUCAAAAGUUUCAAUAAUAAACUAAACUCAACUUAACAUAAAGUUAUUUGGGUGUCAUUGUUUCUUUGUCAUACACUCUACCUUUUUUUUUAAGAACCUACUGUUGACUGUUUUUCUAUCAAAAACUCCUUAAAAUAUUUAAAUUUUAUCUUCUAACUUGUCCUCUUGGUUAAUGUAACUAAUAACUAAAAUCUCAAAAUUCACAUAAAAGUUUAUGAAAUGUUGAUAUAUAGUUGUUACUAUAUUUUGUUUUUGUAAGUAUUGGCAUUUUUUCAAUUAAAUUAUUUUUAUAAAUAAAUUAAAACAGUAAUAAUAUUUUAGUCCCCAAAUCUUUUCAAUCUAUUCAAUAAAUAUAUAAUUUAAUUUUUUCAUGAAAUAAGUCACUAAUUCCAAUUGGGAAGAAAAUAUAAUUGAAUUAGGAACAUAUUUAAAAAUAAAAUAAAAACUCUAUUAUUUUAUAAAAAUUGAUAAAAAAAAAAAAAACAUAAGGGUAGUUAAAUUAGGGACAUAUAUGAAAAAAAUAAAACUAUAUUAUUAUAUAAAAUUAAUGAAAAAAUAAGGGGUAUAAAUAACUUUCCUGGACUAAUCCGGGCUACACCCCCGCUUAGGUCCGCCUGCGCACUCAUUACUCCAAAUACAACGUUUAAAUUUUAAAAUCAAAUUUUUACUAUGUAAAAUAUAUAAAUCUAAAAAAUAGUCUUGAAUUGUUUUUUUUUUUGGGGCUCCUGUUUUAUUAUUCUUUUUCUAAAGUAAUUUCUCUCUUCUUAUUAAAGGCUUGAGAUAAAUUAUAUAUCCCUUUUUCUUUUAUUGAAUCAUAGUUCUUCGUUUCUUUUAUUGAAUCAUAGUUCUUGUGAUUUUGAUUUUUAGUAUGUAUUGCCUACAAUUUAUCAUUGAGGUAUCAGUUACAUAAAUAUAAUUUUCCGUUAAUCUUAUUUCGAAGAUGUUAAUGAAAUAUAUUUGGUGAAAACGAUAUUAGAGUGAGGAUACGUGCACCCAUGACAAAAAUUUGCAAAGAAGUCUUCAAUCUUUCAAAUUUUCCAAUUGAUAAAGAAUUGAUUUAAAAAAGAAGAAGAAGAUGAUGAUGGUGAUUUAAGAUUUUAUAAUACAUGGGUGUGUCAAGGAUAUUUGUUUCAAGUUAAAAUUAUUCAAUCCUUAAUACUAAUUUCAUAAAAGGGCAUUUUUAUAAUAUAAAUUUUUAUUAAAUAAAGAGGAUUAAAAAUAACUUUUAGAAUAUAUAAAUAAAUAGCCUCACCCGAUUAUAAAGUACAAGGUCACUCGAUGAUGUCAUGAAUUUAUGUAAUCAAAUAUGAAUUAUGUAAAUGAAACAUAAGACUUAUAAAUUUAAUAUAAAACAUGUAAAUCAAUAUUAAUAGUGAAAUAACAUAUAAAUUAUGUAAAUAAAAUAUUAGACUUGUAAGUAGAAGGUAAAACAAACAAAUUAAUAUAAGAGUGAUAAAUUGGUAUAUUAUUGGUAAACAAAAGAAAAACUUACAAAUGUAAUAUAUAAUUUAUAAAUCAAUAUUAAGUGUGAAAUAAAAUAUAAAUUGCGUAAAUGAAACAUAAGACAUGUAAAUAAAAGAUAAAAAAAAGUAAAUUAAUAUAAGAUUGGUAAAUUAAUGUAUUGGUAGUAAACAAAAUAAAAAUUUAAAGACAUAAUAUAAAGCUAUAAAUCAAUAUUAAGUACAAAAUAAAACAUAAGUUUAGGUGUAAUUUACAAAAUUAAUAUAAGAGUUAUUAAAAAAAACUUACAAAUGUAAAAUAAAAACUCAUUAUAAUAUUGAUUACCUUAUUUAUUUAUUGAUUCUAUUUUAAAUUGAAUAAUGAUAGUUUUGGUCUUAUGUAAUAAAUGUGAUGUUUUAUAUAAAUUUAUUCUCAAAAUUAUAUUUUGAAAUCUAUUCUUUUAAUGUUUUUCAAAUUUAUUGUAAGAUGACAUGAUUUCUCAUCCUUCUAAAUCUCCUCAUUAGCAAUGCAAAUAGUUUCUAAAUACAAGUAAGAGGUGACGGUUAAAAUUACAAAAAGCAUCUGUAACACUCAAAAUUAGAUAUAAUUUUAUUGAUAUGUCAUAUAUCUGUUUAGUAAUAUAAGAAUAUGUUUUUUUUUUUUAAUCCACAUUAAGAUAAAUUAUUUCGCUUUGUUAACUUGUGUAGUAAAAAAAAAAAAACAAUGACAGAAAAUGAAAAAAAAAAGUUUAUAAAUAUCUUAAGACAAAUAUAGAAUUUAUUCUUAAACCAAUUCAAUAAAACUUAUUCUACUUGUUUUCAGUAUAAUUUUUUUGGUCUUAAAUUGAUGACUAUUUUUUUUUCAUUGUUUAGCUAAAGUAAUGAAUAAAUUAUUUUUUCACUAAAAUUAUGUAGAAAUCAUGUUAAUUGUUUUAAUAAUUAACUGGCUUAUAUUAAUUUACAUGUUUUAUCUUCCAAUCACUUGUCUUAUGUAUAAUUUUAUAAAAUAUAUUUUUUACCACAACAUUAAUGCUGUAAUUCUAAUCAUGGCAUUAUAAAAUUUUCCAAUGUGGGGAAACGUCUUUACUCUAAAUAAAACUAGAGUUGUGUUGAGCUCAAUUUAAAUAUCUAAACAGCUCUUGUCUAAGCUUUGAAUCUCAAUACAAAAUUAAAGGUGUGUUUGGCACGCAGCAUUACACCACAUUAAAACUCUGUAUUGUAUUAAAUCAAUACAAUAUCAUGUUUGGUAAAAAGUUAACUUUGUAUUAAACCUCAUUAUAAUACACCAAACGCCGCAAAAAAUAAACCCGUGGGGGAGUCGUAAUUAGGCCGCAUUGCAUUCGAAAAGAGAAAUAAAAUAUUUUCUUCUUCCAAACACGAUCCUCAGCCACGACCAUGAAACAAAAUUUCCCUUCUCAAAACCCAAAACAAUACUUUUCUCUCAAACUCACUCAUCUAUUCACUGAUUUUCCUCCAUUCUCCUUCAAUUUCUCAAGAGCCAAACAUAGCAAACGCCUUGUCAGUGCGGCCAAGCCCAGCCGUCGUGCAGCGUGAAUCAUUAAAUGAGUGGUGCAGCCGCAGCAUCUGAAUCUUUAAUUGGAGCGACGGUGUCAUUUGAAUUCGAACAACAGCGUGGUGCGGCGGUGGUGCUAUGGCGAGAUUCGAACGGAUUCACGUGCAGAUUUCAUUUUUCCAUUUAGGUAUUCAAGUGUUUUAGUUGAUGGCUCUAUAAAGCCAAAUAAAUAAAUAAAUAAAUAAUAAUAAUCUAUUGAAAUCAUUUUCAUGAAAUCUGGAAGUGUAGAGGCGUUGAUGUGAGAGAGAGUGAGUAAGAGGGUAGUGGAGAUUGUGGUGUUGAAUUGAUGAAUUUAGGAGAUGGGCAUUUUUUUUUUUAAUUUGUUGGCUUGUUUGUUGGUUUGAAUGUUUGUGUUCUGUUUUCUAGCAAUUGUUGUGGGAAUGAGGUGAAUGUUAAGAAUUUGGAGAAGAAUGUAAAAAUAUUGGUGAUUCGAAUUUUUCAAAAAAAAAAAGAAAAUCAUGGUUGAUUCUUGCAUGAAUAAGAUGAUUGCUGCUAGAACAGUCAGUUACUUUUUUUUUUCUGUUUCCCAAUGUUUCACUUUUCCAACUCUUGUUGAUUCAGGGGAAGCCUGAGUUGGUGGCCGAUGAUGAAACCAAGAUGGCACAGAUGGUUUGCUCUCCAACAAACCAUGAAGAGUACACGGCUUGUGGAAGUUAAAGGAGCAAAUUCUGGUUAUAUUCCUUGAAAAAUAUAUAUUACCUAGGCAUAGGUUACUGACCCUUAAUUGAAGGGGGCAUGUUUUGAUAAUAUGGGUAUCUGAAGUAUGAUUAAAUAACUUUAACAUGAAGUAACUUAAAAUGCUAUGUAUAGCUUAUGUGUUAAUAUAUCUUGUUAACUGUAUAGUUCCUAUUUUGUGCUGGGUUGCUGUAUUAAGAGUUUGAAUACUGUGGAACCUGAAGUAACGAUGACAAUUUAUUGAAUUAGGUUAUGACAAUUUAUUGAAUUAGGUUAAUUACAAUUAACACUAGUGUUACUCAUGAUUGCAAAGUUGUAUUUUUUGGUCCGAUUUUAUCCUAGGAAUGAUAUGAGAAGUUUUAAAUAUGGUGCUUUACUUAAGAUUUUAUAUGCCUUCUUGUGAAUUCAUGCAUACUUAUUCAUGUCUCACAUCUUCUCAUUGGGUGCUCAGAACGCAUUUUGGUAAUUGCAUGCAAUAACAUUGAGGGGUGAAUGGUGAUGGCCUCCUUAAAUGGAAGAAAUGAAUGAAUGGAUUAGGAGAAGCCACAGUAAGAGUGGAGUGCAUUUGAAAUUCCUAUCACACCCAUUUGGAUGCACUGUUUUCCACUCUAUUUAAAUUUCCUUUAUCCUUCAAAUUAAGUUGAAAGUAGUUUUGAAUUUUGAUGAUGGAGCCUUAGACUCUUGAAAAUCUUGAAGAUUGCGAUGUUGCUGAAGAGCAUGGAGAUGGAGUGAUUGCUGAAGAUGCUGAAGCUGGUGUUGCUAUUGUUGCUGCAAUAGUGAAGUUGUUGAGGUUAGUAGCAGCAUUGUAAAUGGCGGUGUUGUUGCUGCUGAAGAGAGCCCGCAUGGUAAGGGAUGAUAUUUGACAUUAUUUAUGGAUAUAGCAUAACCGUUCUUAUUCUAAUAUUCAACAUUAAUUUUACAGAUGAAGAGAAGCCUUAAUAUUGCUGCUUGCUAGGGAAAGAAUAAGUGAAGAGAAGCUGAAUCAGAUCUUAGAAGACAUGCUUGAAGGUUUUUUUUCCAAUAAAAAGAGAAGCAACAUCACAAAGACUACUUAUUGGGGCAAAAUUAAUAUUGGGAAGAAGAAUAAUCCGUGGGAAAAUGCUAUGUAGAUGCUCCUAAGAUAGAGAUAUAUGAGUUUUGUAACUAAGUUAAUAUCUUGGUUACUAAUUAUAGUGAAACACAUUUAUUUAGAUUCUUAUUAGGUUUAUUAUUUUCUUGGAACUUGCUGUGGACAAAGAAUUUAAUAUGUCAAGUGAAUUGUGUCUAUUGUACAUCGACUUUAACAUAUAAUAAAUCAAUAAAUGAUUCAAUUUUAACAGUACCUGUAUUUAUAUCAAUAAGACUUUCAAAGAUACUAUAAAUAUAAGUUUGUAUAUUUGAAACCCUAGUGUUCAAUAAAUUUGAAUAAUAUUAAUUUAUUAAUAAAUUAAUAUUUUUACAUUAUAAUUUAUUCAUAAAUUUAUAAUUUAUUAUAACUAAUAAUAAAUAUUUAAAUUUGAAUAAAUUUGAAUCAUAUUAAUUUAAAAUUAAUAAUAAUAUAAAUAAUAUAAAAUAUUAACACAAUUUAAAUAUAUUAAUAUAAUAUAAUAUAAUAUUUAAUUUCAAUUAAUCACAAAAAAAUAAUACAGUGUAGCACCAAAUAUUGUACAAUAUUAUUAUAAUACAGUACUAAUGCAAUACAGUAUAAUACAAUACAAUGUGCCAAACGCACCCUAAAUACAUUAAACUUCAUUAUAAAAAAGUCUACAUUGGCAUCAUGCUCAUCUUAUAGUUGCCGGUAUUAAUUAUUUUUGCACCAUAGUUUCCGUAGAAUCAAUUGGGUACCCAGUUCCGGAUGAAGGGUUGGAACCGCCGUUGGAGCAUGGACAUAGGAUGGAGACAACUCGAAUGAGUAGUUUUGAAGAAUCAUUGUCGUGGCCAUUUUUGCUUCUACUAGAGCAAAAUUUUGUCCAACACAUAUCCUAGGACCCAAUGCGAAUGGGAAAUAUGAAACUUGAUUUUUCGCCGCCUUUGAAAUUCCUUCCGCAAACCUUUCCGGCUUAAACUCAACUGCAUCGUCACCCCAAAGUUCAGGAUCCUGGUGAACUAGGAUCAUUGGCAAGCCAAUUUGAACCCCAGCGGGUAAUGUCAAGUUUCCGAGUUUCGUUUCCUUAAGAACAGCUCGACUAAGCAUAGUUACGGGCGGAUAAAGCCUGAGUACCUCAUAAAGUAUCAUCUGGACCUGUCACAUACAUACAAACACAACUGAGAUUAAUAUGAUCAAAUUGAUCAAUAUCGAAUACUAUUUCCUUCGUACUUACAAUUUUGAGGUGAUUCAAUCCAUCAUAGUCGGGCUUAUUAUUGCCAAACACUUGCAAAACCUCUUGCCUUGCACGUUCUUGCCAAUCUUGAUGCUUGCUCAAUAAGACCAUCGUCCAAUUAAGCAAAACAGAGGUAGUCUCUUGGCCGGCAAAGUAAAAUAGCUUACACUCUUCGAUCACAUCGUUCAUGCUGAACCCAACAUUUUUGUUAUUUCCAUGUUCUUCAAUCUCUCUAAAACUGGUUUCCAUCAGUAUGCCUAACAAGUCAUUAUUCGCAGCUUCCCCUGCUUUCAUUGCCUUCUCCCUAUUUUUGAUGAUUCCCAUCAAUGAAGCCCGGAUUUCCUUGUCAAUUUCUUUCAUUCUCCUAUUUCUCUUUGUAGGUAAAAACCUAUAUAUAAGCAAUGAAAGAACUGAAAAGACAAGAUCUAAACAAACUAAUCAAACCCUUAAUUUUUUUUUGCCCUCUUUUUACCAAUCAGAAAUCUGCUGGAGCCUCUUAGAAUAACUCUAUGAUUAGCACAAUCAAGAUAUCUGAGCCGAAGUCAGCUAG